RNAcentral lists this long non-coding RNA (46772 nucleotides) under Brachypodium distachyon (stiff brome). Its description in RNAcentral is "long non-coding RNA (BDIS_LNC001648)". The stretch from base 1864 to 2062 matches the Rfam family "MIR159 microRNA precursor family". The record is from RNAcentral. Lineage: Eukaryota; Viridiplantae; Streptophyta; Magnoliopsida; Poales; Poaceae.
ACAAAAACAACAAAUUCAGUGCUCUAAUAGGCAAAAACAAAAAGGUGCUCCUUCCGGCCGGAAUUAUUUGUUUGCACAUGAUUCAAUUUUUUUUUUGUUUACACAUGAUUCAAAUUUACCGUUUCCGCAUGAAAAUUUACAUGCACAUGCAGGGCUUGAUAAUUGACACAUGUGUGUUUUUUGUGAAAUGUUUUGGGAAUAAAGAAUUGUUUUUUUCCAUUGGCACCGGCCGGUACUACUGGCUGCACCUUUGAAUUUCCUGUUGGGUAGCAACUAAACAAUUUUGCCAAAGUUUUGUUCCAAUAGAAUCCAGAUGCUUUCAAAAGAACUUGGGUCCAAUUAAAGUUACUUUGCACUUGUGCCAAGUGUAAACGACACACCUAAAUAAACGUGCAUGCACCUAACCUUACCUUUGUUUUACGUACAUCAAUUGAACCGAUGGUUACGUAAAUAGCUUGCGAAGGAAAGCCAUUUAACAAAUUGCAUGGAACAUGGUAUGAAACCUAUAAACGGAAAGAUGGAUUCGGAAAUGGUCAAGUCACCAUUGGGAGUGCAGUCUCAGACAUGCAUGCAUACUAACCAAACAUCAUGUGACACUUGUCGCCUGAAAUCAUAUAUACUUGUAGUUUUUAACUUUUAUAUUCUUCUUUUAUAAAGCUUGGCAUAGUUGGCAACAACCCUAGCCUAAUUUAGAUGCCACUUAGACAAGCACCACUUUUCCUUGGCAUGCUUCUCGCUUCCUCAUUGUGGUUUAUUGUUGUGCAUGCUGAACUUGUUAUACAAGUCAUUGCGCUUGCGAAGGCAAAAACUCUGGCCAGGCACCCAAGAUUAUCAACAACCCACUAAAAUGCUGAAUGAAGCCUAAAUUGUGCAGCUUUAAAAUAUAGAAUUCUUCCGAUCUAUAUGCCACUAACCCAAGGAAUGGUUUUUUCAUCAUCAGUUCCUCUCUUUGCGCUUCCGGGCGGCUCUUUUGGCCACUUUUCAUUUUAUUGGGAUUCUGAAAAACCUUUCAAAUGUGACCUUUGAAUUAAAAUGAGUAAAUGAUCUGAUCCCGUUUUAGAUCCAUAAUAUUUCACCAUUAUUGCGUAGAUCUGAUCUAGUUUUCCAUCAUCAAGAACUUCUAAUUUACUAUACCUGCUAGCAAACGGAUUGUUAAUAGAUAGUGUUUGGAAUACCACAUCUCUAUACAAGGAACGAAUAAGUUUGCUCCCGGCAGGAUUUCAAAGAGAAUAAAUGUUGCCGAAUCAUUUACCAGAAUUAAUUUCCACUAUUUUUACUAGUAGAUGCAUAGCACACGAAAUGUCUAUAUAGUAAUAAUAUUUUUCACCAUUAUUGCCCAGAUCUGAUUGAUUUCCAGCAUCCAGAACUUCCAUUUUACUGCACUUGCAUGGGCAGGAGGAUUCCAGAACGAGAGAGAUCGAUGCCUUUCUAAAGGUCGAAUCCGGCCGUUAAAUUGCUGCCAUUGCCAGCACUAAAAGAUGCCAAAAAAUAUUUUAAGCGCAAGGCGGUUCAUGAAGAGAUGCCAAACUAAAAAAUAUUGCAUCCUCAUUUGCCAUGCAUGCUGCAUGCAUGAGCCUCACAACGGCAAGAAAAAGGCAAUUGUUUUCUGUCCAUACAUGCUAGGGCCCCAGGCCUGAUCAGACGGCUCUGAUCUGACGCUGAGCUCUAUAUAAUGCCCACCAGCCCCAACCAAGCCUUGCAUCCCAACUCGUCCUGAUCCUAGCUAGAAAACCCCAUAGCAACCAAGGACGCAUACUAGUUUUUCCUUGAUAAUUGUUGUUUUCUCUGUACUUCGUGUAGUUCGAUUUGAUCGAAAACACCGUGAUCUUUGGGUGGUAGAGAUGAAGGGCAAGCGAAAGAUAUAGACAAGAAGAAGAGCUCCCUUCGAUCCAAUCCAGGAGGGGAAGUGGUCGGAUGCAGCUGCCGGUUCAUGGAUACCUGUCUGGUGCAUGCAGUGUGGUAAUAGCCUGCGCACCUGCAUCGGUUUGCAUGACCCGGGAGAUGAACCUGCCAGCGUCUUUCCCUCGUGCUUGGAUUGAAGGGAGCUCUCUCUCCCCCCUCUCUCUCUCUCCCUCUCUCUCAUUUGGACCUGUCAUGUUUGUUUUUGUUUGCUGAAGCUAACUUGUUCAUGCUUUCUCUUAUUCUUAGCAGGUUGCAAGCCGCGAAGAAAAUAGGGAAAGACGGAUGUUGCAAGCGCAUGCAUCCAGGAAGCUAGCAAAUAAAUUAAACAGUAAAAAAAUAUCAUCAAGGACAAAACCGAGGGCUCCAUGCAUUAUAUAUGUAACCAGCAUGUGGUUGUAUGCUUGCAUGAUAUAUAUAUAUGCGUUUCUCUUCCCACCUAAAUUUUCUCAAACCUGGACGAACCAUGCAUGUAAUUGUAUUCUGUAGUGUAGUGUAGAGUUCUUUGUUUGCCCGAAUUGUUAGGACUGUUUAGUCUCAAUUCAUUGGUAGAAUUUUUUUUUUAUGGCCAGAUGUGUCGUACAUCACCAUCUAAGCAUCCUAUGUUUGGGAGAAGGAUGCAUGGGUUGUUUGUUUAAAAUUUAAAGAAUGCGAAUUAAUUCCUAAAUAAUAUAUGUCCAUGAAAAAGAUCACACCAUAUGUUUCUGUCGUAUCUUUUCAAUUUAAUUUAGAGAAUGUGAAUUAAUUCGUAAAUAAUAAAUGUCCAUGAAAAAUGUCGAACCAUAUGUCUUCGUUGUAUCUCUUCAAGGAUGGUGCUCAUUUAUGGUUUAUUAAGGAAAUUAUUUUUGGUUUAUUUGGAGGGCAGGCGCAACAUUAAAUGGUUUCUCAUAAAUCAGUAGGCAGAAAAUGGAAGAAUCCACGAAGAGAAACUCGUGGUAGUACUGUUUUAUUGGCUAGCACCUGAUUUUGGGUCGACUUGCUCGCGGGCUGCUAUAUUUGAAGAUGCAAGAACAGAAAGAAAAAAUGUAUAGGUGAAUAGUACAAUUUUCUAUCUGAACUAUACAGCAUGACCAGCGGUAAUUACAAAUUGGAGCUACGUAAUUCCUUUUAGUUUUGCUAUACCUAAAUCGUCUGAUAUUUAGUUAUUUAAAGAAACUGUUUUGUUAUUUUUUAGGCGAAUGAGAAAUAAGUAUUUCUUAAUCGAUGAUAACAAUCUCUUGAUUCAAUCAGAUUCGUAUAAAAUUAUGUAGUUCUAAUGGAUAAGAAAAUCUUGAUUGGAUGACUACGAUUGUUGGAUGAGAAAUAGCUAUUUCUUGGGCGGCUAAAAAAUAGACACUGCCCUGCCUUAAGAGACCAAAAACCUUAAAAGUUGGUAAGAUCCAGUUUUUGCACACAUAAUUGAACACUGAGAACGAGAAUGUAACCAGCCACGCGACCACCUGCUGAUCUUACGCCGAGGACAGGACGACGACACGUUACGUCGAGGUGGACAAGUGUACCGCACACGCCUACGCACAGCUUCCCUGCUCACACGCAUCAACGUCGAGGUGACGUACUUAUCGCAAGAUGCAGGCUCCCGUCACGUCCCGUCGGCUUGGCCUGCUUUCUGGGCAGCAUGCAUGCAUCGUUUCCGUCCAUUUUAAAGUUGGCGUCAACCCGUGCAUGCACCGUUCCCUCGGAGCCUCUCCGUCGUGCACGGACGCGGGACUACUCUGAGACAGACAAAACACGAUACGAGAACACGGCCGCACGAAUUCAUCUGGAUCGCCCCAUUUUUCCUGGUUCUUUCUACUCCGCCCCUCGGCAUUCCGGUGGUUCACCUCAAUGUAUGGAUUUGCCCAAAAUGACACCGCAGAGACGUCUUUUUGGAGUUGAUGACCCGAACCAAGAAAGGCCGGGUGUCGCUAUCGUCGUCCCAAGCCCAGCAGGGAACGCUAUGUGAGGCUCCGUUUGGGAACGGACUUCCCCGCGCCUGGUUGCGAGUUGCGACGGCGUGUUGAUGCCCUGCCGUUCGGAUCACAGGACAAAGGCUGACUACGGUAUACUACUACGUAAAUCGAAGCCAACUUGUUCAAUAUAAAAAUAAAGAACCUGCAAUGCAUGAACAUUUCUGAAAUCCCAGCAAAAACUUCCGAAUCAUGUAAAAUAAUUUCUUUAAGACAAAUGAACAUGAACAUUUCUUUUAUUCUUUAGAAUGCAUAAUCAUCAAAAUUACUUUUACCAUUGAUUAAAAAAACGUCAAUGGCCGGUGCAAUCCCUUCGGGCGGCGGCAAGCCCUGUGGCAAAUAGGGUCUCCUGAACUCGUGACGCGAGCAAGACGACAGCUGGAUAGUAAAAGGAAAACCGGUUUUGCUAAGAGAAAAGUCGAUUGAUUCUUAUUUGUCGACCCGUUGACGGUCAGAUCUUAAUCAAAAGGCAGUGCGUGGGAGGUGAGAAAAUGAGGAUGAUGUCCGAAUCUUAAUCCAACGGCUCUAAUGGGUCGACUGAGAAUUAAAACAUUUUUCUUAAAAACCAACCGACUGAAAAUAACGAUAGCCAAACAAAAAGAGAUGAAUACCUCUCGGUCGACUGAGAAACAAUGUUUCUUAGCCAGCCGCAUGUGUGAUUAGCAAACUUUUGACCCCUCAGCUUGCAGGCCAGCCACCCAUGCGUAUGUAAAAAACAUUCGUGCUUGUAGCAACAUAAAUUCAAUACACACUUAUAUGAUUUUCAUGUAUAUUGUUACAAAUUUUAAAACGGUGCUAAAAAUUUCAAAUUUGGAAAAUACCGAUCCCAACAAAAGCACACUUGCACAACACAGCCAACGCCACGGAGAAAAGAAAAAGGCAAAAAAAUAAUAACAAUUAAAUUUAGAAAAAAUUCAGGUGAAACUUUACGAGCCAUUCUAAAGAUUGGAGUGAAACCUUAUGAACCAUUCUAAAAAUUGCGGGUGAAACUUUAUGCGCGAUUCUAAAAAUUGCGGGUGAAACUUUAUGCUCAAUUGUAAACAUUGCGGGUGAAAUAUUAUGCGCGAUUCUAAAAAUUGCAGAUGAAAUAUUAUACGGGAUUCUAACAAUUGUAGGUAAAAGUUAUGCGCGAUUCUAAAGCCCACUUGUAGGUAGAAAAUAAAAAGAGACACAAAUAUAACCAAGCAAAAAAAAAAGGAUACAGCUCAUUGGAUUCCACACUCCAAACAAAUAGAAAAAAUGAGGAAAUAUCACAAAACCCCAACUGUUGCGUCAUUCUUAUCACAUAACCACAAUUUCUGAGUAUCUUAUCCGAAAACCACAAACGCCUGCCCUAAUUACCUCCGUCCCCUCUUAACAGGCAAACUGACAAGCCCGAGCCACAUGUAAGGGCUGACAGGGCUCCACCUCCACACCAAAGUACUCGACAUCGUCGAUGUGCUCCGCCCGCCCGUGCUUCCCCCGACCGGCAGCCAUCGGCGCACGCAUUCGAUGUGGUCGCGUGGCACCACGCGUAGGGGCUACAGCGGUAGUGAGGCAGAUCGACGAUGACCUCGAGCCCUUCCGCCUCCACACCAUGGCGCUCCCGCACGCCUGCACGCCGCCCCUAUCCAUGGCGAACCGAGGAGGGCCAUCACGCUGCAAAUCAACAUCUAGACCCCGCCUACAGAUCCACAACACCCCCUCAGGGAAGAAAUGAGAGAGUCGCUCGGUGUCCGCGCGCGCCUUCGAUGGGGUGCGGCGGGGUCGACAAGCACGAGCAGCGGCAGCAAGCACGGCGCCUCCGUGUGCCUCUCCGGCCUUGUCCAAGCCUUCCUCGAGACGGACUCCGCCGAGGAUCCCGCGCCCAAGGGGACCGCGGUUAACGGGCACGAAUCCAGGGACGACAAUGGCUCAGCAGCUCGACCUGCCGGCGACACGCGGGGCAGCGGGCGGAGCGCGCGGGUGAGAGCGGCGCGGAGGCACGCGGGGGCGAGCGGCGCGGGCAGAGCGCGUGGGGGCGAGGAGCUUCGGUGGGGAAAAAGAAAAUCCACCCUUUGCCAGAUCAGCAGCCCCGUCAGCCCUUACAUGUGGGCCGGGCUUGUCAGUUUGGCUGUUAAGUGGAGCAAACGAUCAGAUUUGGGAGGACGGCGGUAAUUAGGCCAGGCGGUCGUGGUUUUCAGAUAAAAUACUCAAAAGUUGGGAUUUUGUGAUAUUUUCUCAGAAAAAAUCAAUAAACACACAGUAGAAAACAGGCCCAAACCAGCCCACAAAAACUGUCACAAGACUCACAAGCCAAACCCAGGCCCAUCCACCUCUCCUGGCCUGCUCGGGGAAACAAAUCAGCAGCCAUAGCAACCAACGGAAGUUUCCCCUAAAAAAAAAGCAAACCAACGGAAGCUGUAUAUAUCGCGAACUAAAUGAGCUACGUAGAAAAAUCUGGAAAAACAGAAUCGACUGUUAAACAGGAUUUCUCACGCGAUUGAGCAUUAGCAAAACUGAGAAAAAAAAAGUUGUAAAAGUUCACCCAAGGUAGAAGCGACCCAGCCCAUCACCACAAAAUACUAAGAGCCUGUUUGGGAGGGCUCCACUCCACCUAAACUUCACUUCACCUCUAAACUUCACUCCACCUCAGAUUCACUUCACCUGAUAAAUGUGUUUGGCACACAAACCAGUUCCAGCUACCAUUUCCCUUGUUUGCUGGUAUUUUUUUUUGUUUCUUUCCAUUAUGGAUCAAUACCACACGAGAUUACUUCACCUGUUGGUAUACGAUCAUCACAAGUAUUUACAAAUUGAUGAACGUGGCCGAUUAACACAUCUGCUAAUCGAUUGAUACAAACUGAUGAACCUACCGAUUAACUCACAGCUGCUGAUAGAUUGAUGCAUGUAUUUCUUUUGUGUUUCGCGUGUCGUAUACAUACAUCAAACACACAACUUGCUUGCUUUAGAAAAUUAACACACAACCCGCGAUCCGUUGGAGGAGGUGGCGACGGCUUGGCGACGGUGCAGUCCGGAGGAGCAGCGGCGAACCCCCGUGGCAGCGGAGAAUCCUGUUAGCAGCCGCGGCGGAUCGCGGGAGAUCGAGGGAAGCGCAGCGGGCGAGUCGGCGGAUCGCGGGAGAUCGAGAGAAUCCCGGCGGGUGAGCCGGCGGAUCGUGGGGGGACGGCGGACUCGCCAGAGAUGGCGCGCGCGGGCUCGUCUAGGGGCAAAGAUGUGCCGCCAUGGCCCAUGGGGACUUUGGGGGUCAGGGAAUAGGAGCAGUCACAAGGCUGAGGCUUGAGGAUAACGGUUCGAGCUCAUAAUGGCAUUGGUGGGUAAAUUAUCUCAACUUUAGAUGAAGUGGAGCAGGUGAAGCAUCUCUUUCUUGACUCCACUUCACCUAAUACGUGGAGUUUAAAACGUUUGAGACAACUUCAUCUCCUUCACUGGUGAAACUGUAAAGUGGAGCUGUAACAAACAGCCUUUAAGAUCGCUAAGCUAACGAGAAAAUCGCAAACGCAGGAUGCAGCGAAGCGACCAAGAAGGCAAGGAAAGACGUGUAUUUUUGGCGAGGUACAAAGAAUGGUGUGGUCAAUUUUUCGAAUUAUUCUGUUUCGUUUACACGCUGCUUGAGCUUAGUAUCUCCGUAUCGUCGACGUCGUCAAACAAGGCCUUGGACACGGAGUCGAACGACCUCAUCUCGUCUCCCUCGUCAGACCCCGACGACGUCUGCUGCUGCUUCUUCGCAGCCGUCAUGGGCGUUUCAAACACCAUGUCGGUGCAUGACACCCGCCGCUUCCUCCGCUUCGAGUGCUGCCUGGACCGUGGCACCGCCGCCGGGGGAGGCUCUUUCCCCGGGUGCUUGAGCGCCCACACGCGGUGCAGGUCGGGCACCCAGCUGGUGAAGGAGGAGAGCCUCCGCUCCCUGUUCCGUCGCUCGCGCGCUCGCUCCAGCUUCUCUUCGUGCCUGUCGUGGUGGCGGCUCCUUGUGGGGGGCGCGGAGGCGCUUGCGCUGCCGAUGCAGUUCCUGCGCGCGCUACUCCGGCUCCUGUCAGCCUUGGUGUCGUCCUGGUGGUUGCUGCUGCUGGGUAAAGAAUCUGAACAUGGCAUCUCAUCGUCGUCGAAUAGAUCGAACUCCAUCUCGGUGUAUAUCUUCUUGAUCACAUCCUCCAUGGAGUUCAUGUACCUGAAAACAUUGGGGAAGUCAUAUUAUACACCUGAAACCUGAAAAUUAUUGGGCCUCGUUGUCAUACAGUAACUUUCAUUUGAACACUUUGAAAAUUACGGGCGUCAGUGUCACAAGUUUUUUCUCUCUCUCGAACAUGCACAAAUCUGUGUGCCAUGCUGUAUUAGACAAGUCACGGUGUGCCCUGCGCCCCUAUAUCCACCAUCCAUUCAAAUCGCUAUGAAGAGUGCAGAUAAGGGAAAAAAAAGCAAAACUGCAACUGCGCGGGCUCUCGAGCGAAGGUCUGCCGAUCUCCCGCCUGCGCCUCCGCCGAGGGCAAGGAAAGGGAGCAAGCUCCGGCGGCCGCCACUGGUUCCUCCGCCCCUGCUACAACGGGCUCCUAUGCCCCGGACAGCCCGCUCUGAGCAAGCUCCGGCAGCCGCCACUGGCAUCUCCGCCCCCAUUACAACCCCUGCCUCGCCCCGCUCCGACGGGCUCCUACGCCCUGCCCCGCUCAUGAUCCGUCCGUCCACUUCGUCUGUGCCAUCGUCUGCACGGGCUGGUGGGGAUGGAAGCCAGGUUCUCCAGGUGCUGAAAUCGGUCGCCAUGGUCCAUAUGCGGCUGCUGCCGACGAAGGAGAUGCAUAUCCAUUCCCAGCACAGCCCUGCGCGGCUGCGCGGUCCUAUUCCCCGUCCUUUGUGACUCUGUCUACCCUUUCCAUCUAACUGAAUGUCCCUAGUGUGAAGAAAUUGGAAUAGCUACUGCUAAGCCUGCAAAGUCUGAAGAAAAUUGUUGCCAGCCGUCCGAUUUUAAAUGGAUGGUGGAUAUAGGGGCGCAGACCACACCGUGACUUGCCUCUGGCAGGGCACCGGAUCCCAGUCCGUUUCGGUGAUAUAAAUCAUAACCGAAGAAAAUGUAGAGCCCUCCUGCGGCCGCAGACAAGGGGUCUAGUUAGAAGGCCUGACUUGCAGUGGGCCAGUGGCAGCCACCUCACAGCCUCACCACCAUUGGCUAGCAUCCAGAGGUUGGCUUCACACAGGAUGGCUUCGACCAGCGCAAGGCAACCUGGUGUGGCGCUAUCGGAAAUGCAGCAAUGAAGGUAGGCAAGCAGUACUUUCCGUUGAACCCUACGAAAGUUAUUGUGCAGCACUAUUAUCACAGUAAGAUCCGUAAUACACUAAAUACUUUUAACUUUUAAGUUUCAAGUGCAAACUACGUAGUUCCUAGCCCAUAUUACCAUAAACAGGAAGCAAAAUUUGGACAACACAACAAUCCAAAGUCUAUUUUGUAAGAAAUGAAAAUGGCGCUGAGAAGGUCUAAGAGAUAGUCUCUGUUCAUCUAAAAAAAGGGUCUAAGAGAUACUAGUACUCCAAAAUUUGGAGUCCAAGGUUAUUUUGAAUUGCAAUAUUUUUGUUUCAAAAGAGAAGGUAAAUUUUUCUUUCAAAAGAGAAAGUAACAUAUUGCAACAUAUUUCUGAAGUGGUACUUGUAAGUCAUAGCUACAGUACAAAAAGGUGUACAUGUUAGUCAUUUUGAUCAUACAAUAUCUUCUUUUUGAGAAACAAGCUACAGUAUACCCUUGCGAGUUUCACUUUGAUCAUACGGUAAAAGGUAAGUGCGCAAUAUAUUCACAAACAUGCAGGCCAAUAUAAUAUCAUUGCACUUCAACUGUCCUUCGAAGUUAGAACCUGAUGUACCUAUCUCAUAUUUAUUAUCGAAAUAAAUAUACUAAUAUACAAUGCUUUCAUCCUCAAGACAGGCUCAAGGAACAUGAGCACCACCUUCUUGUGAUGUACCUAUCUCAUAUUUAUUAUCGAAAAACCCUACUACCUCAUUUUCACAAAGGUUGGCGUAUUUGGUUUCGUCAAGACAAAACUUUGACCAAGAAGUACUAAAUAAUAUGUGUUUUUUCAUUUUCAUACAUGAAAUUUAUAUCAAUAGAUUCAUCUUAAAAAGUUCUUGCUAGUAAUUAUGGUUUCGUGUCAUAUAAAUUACAUAUUAAUAGAGUUAUCAAUGGUCAAAGUCUUUGUGAGGGAGUAUCUCGUAUUUAUUUUCACGUCAUUGGAGCUUACGAAUUAUGUUUACAGAAGGACGAGAAAGGUAAUUAUAAAUCAAAGCAAAUCCUGAGCAUUUGAACAAUAGGAUAAGUUAUAUAACCUGUAAUUACUGGUAGUAAUAGUAAUAGGGAUAUACAAUAGUACAAAAAUGAGCAAUACUGAGAAAAGUAUGCCAAAUUAGGACUUUCAUCAGUUUGUUAACAAUACCAGGGAUUAAAACUACAAUUUGCAUUUAAGCAUGCAUAUUUUAUCUGGUAAAGUACCACUGAGUAUGCAUGUCUUUCACCAAAGGUAUAUAAUAUGGUUAGUUGUUUUCAUUGAUAGAAGACUAGUUUUUUCACACAAAUGCUUGAUUCCAGGUACUGUGCUAGUGUGCUUAGCAUAUAAUUCCUGGAAGUAACAAAGCAUUGCCUCUAUUAGUUUAGGUAGCACGAAGUACAACCUCUACCCACACUUCAACACUGAGACUCCCAAGCCUCCAGACUCCAGAUCCAAUAUCCCAACAAACACACUAUCAAAAUAAAUUCAAUGCACACGGAACACAAGACAAACCUGGACUUAAUAGUCUUCUCAGCAAACUUAACGAUGCUGUCAGACUGAAAUGUAUCUCCUUGGAGGUUGAUAUCAAUAAACUGCAACAGAGAGCAGAUUUCUUUUACCAUCUUCUGUUUCAAACCUUCCUCGAAGUAAGGCCCAACUUCAGACUUGAUUAUUUCCAUCCGAAGCAAUAUCUGCAGUUCAUGCCUGAAACAUGCUUGUUAAGGUGUACAAGACCACACAAUUUCAUACGUCUAUGGAUUUUACUAUUGUAGAGGCGUAUCAUAGAAAAUAAUUGCAAGGCUGGAAGUAAAAUAACUGCGCAUUAAAAAGGAUACUCUCUAAUUUUGUAAUUUGUUCUGUACUUUGAGGUCUGCUCUGAUGUGGCAGGUGCUGCAUUGUUGUCUUUGUACUUCAACACAAGCUCUUUGGGUUUCCUCAGCAGAAUACUGGAAGCUUCACAGGCAAUUUUUGCAUCAGAAGCAUCAUCUACUUCCCUGUGUUCAAAAUACCUAACUGAAAUUUUGCCAUGCUUAAUCAAGAGCGCAUGGAUGGACAAGCCAACCAAGCGCUCAGCUAAAUUCCCCAAAUCAGCAUCUUCAGAACAAAGACCUUGCUCAAUCUUCUGAGGGAUACUCCCAAGAAAUGCUUCUAAAUCUUCCAUAGAGGAGAAUGCUGGACUCUCUUUAUUCACUGGUUGCUCCACUUUGUUGCAAUCCACUUCAUCCACCGGUUUGUCCAUUUUGUUAUCAUCUGCUCCAUCCAAUGAAAAAUUGACAUGAGAAGCUGAAGCUUCCUCCUCUGAAACUUGAUUUUUUGCUUCUCCUUCAUCCUUUGAGGAAGGACACUUCUCUCCUUCUGUAUGAGCUCUUGAUGAAGUACUAAGACAUGACAAUUUCACUUGUUUAAGCCAACACUUCAAAAACCGCAACUUCUUUGAUUUAGUGGCAUAUCUGGUGAAAUACAGGUCUUCCAAGUCCACCACCGGCAUGCUGCCAUCAGCAUGUUUGAGGAGCGCAUCGCAGAAUGUGCUCCAGCUGGUAGUCUCAAGUAGCUUACGGGCCAGCUUGGUUCUCUUCUUCCUCACGCUCUGGUCCUUUGAUGGAUCAGGCACACAACUAUCUGGCAUCCCAGGACUUUUCGCAACCAGCUGUCCUAAACCAGCGCCAUUCCUAUCAACAUGCAGUAAUGCAUAGUUCAUCGAGAAAGGCACAAGAACACCAUCUACAGAGUUCCCAUCUUCACCAGACACUGACACCAUUGCACAAUAGUUCCUCCUAUGAAGGAAAAUCAGAAUGAGCUGCCACAUAGGCAUGCCAGCACCAAACCCUUUCUUCUCACCGGCGAGCACCAAUUCAAGAAGCCGAUGUGGGAAGAACUCAUUGUCCAUAGCUUCUUCGCUGUCACCCUUGCUCCUAUCCCUUGGCGACCCACGGACCAGAACAACCUCGUCAUCUCUGCGCAUCAACUGCUCCCAAUUCCCCACGUCACACACUGUCUUCACAUGUAUCCUGGAGACACCAUCAACACCCACCCGCCACGGUGUGGAGCCAACCACCUCGACCUCACAUCCCUUGCAGACCAGCGGCUUCCCCUUCACAUCUUCGAUCUCCAACACCACCUCACCUCGCCCUCCGCCCCCCUCACACCCAAAGCCAACGCCUCCCCACACGAGCCUGGGCGGUGCAACAACUGACCCUAAAGCAACGGCAUCGGUGGUCGUGAACCGCCACCCUAGCUCCGUCACCGCCCCUCGGAUCCCUUCGCUGGUGGAACCGACGGCGACCCAACACACCUGUACCCCCCUGGCCGAAAGCCGGUCCUUCACCGGCCCGAAAACCUCCCUAAACCUCUUCCCAAAGGUCGUGUUCUCACCGAAUUCCUUGAAAUCGGCAGCGGGCGUGAAGAGGACCACCAAAUUGGGCGGUCGGUCGAAGACACGGCGGCGGCCGUGCUGGGGCUCGGCGUCCCACGGGUAGUCGUGUUCGAGCUGGAGGAGUGAUUUGGCGAUGGAGUAAGAGGAGGCGGGAACCCGGGGGUUUGGGCAUCCAGGGACAGCGAGGCGGCGGAGCGGGGUGAGUGAGGCGAGGGUGGCCGGGUGGAGGUCGAAGGAGAGCGGGCUGGGGGCGGCGGGGAGGUGUUUGGGGAGGAGGGAGGAUGAGAGGAUCGGGGAGAGGGAGGAGAAGAAGAGGCGCGCGGCGGAGAGGGAGGUGGGGGAGAGGGAGGCGGCGAGAAGGGAGGUGACGGCUGGGAGGACGACGGCGAGGUAGGAGGAGGCGGCCUGGGCGGUAGGAGUACUAGGGUUUGCGGAGGGUAGGAGGGGGUCGAGGUCGACGAGGAGGACUACGCGGUGGGGCUCGCCGGUGCCGGCCGUCAUGGGUGGGCGGCGGCGGCGGCGGGGAGCGGGAGGAAGGGAAUUUGGUUGGGGCAGUAGAUCUGUGUGCGGGUUUUGGCUUUGGAUUUUUUUUCUUUUUUCUAGUGUGGCUUGUGGGGCAGGGGUUUCCAAAAUUUUGGCGGGAAGGUUGGACGAGCCAAAGCAGGACGCGGCUGGCUGGCCGCCCGCUGGUGGGGUCCAGUCGGCAGCUACAGAUCUAGGCAGAAUGAACGGGGUCGGGGAGCGUUUCUUUUCCUUGACGAAAUCGACUCUUUCAAAUAGUUCAACAAAUAUCACUCCGGUUGAAAACUUUAAGCAAAUUUGAAUUUUGUUUCCUCAGUGUGAAUCGCUUUAGCAUUGAAUUUGGCCAAGUGAGCAUUGAAGGAACUUAGCAAAAUUGAGGGUAAUGAAAGUUACUUUAGUGUCGAGCUCUAUAAGUUCCACACCAAGGACUCAUGCGCCAACUUCAGGAACUUCGAUCUGUUAGCGAUUUCAUAAACAAAUUCACAAUGCCGAAGUGUACAGUGCUAAACUGGACAAGUUCGGUCCCACAAUGAUUAGCAUUGAGGAAAAGAGGUCAGAUUUUAUUAAAGUUUUUAGCUCGGAUCUUUCUGUUGAACUUUUUAAAAUAGGUCAACUUUGACAUUUUUCACAUGAGGAAGAAGGUGGCCAGCUGUGCCACGGUGGGCGGCGGUUAGUGUAGGAGCGACAUAUAUUGGUGGCAGGCUUUUGAUAACCGGUCGAUACCACUCCAUCGUUUAUCAGGCUUACCCCUCUAACAAAUGGUUGUACGAGACACAACAAAAACACCGUUUAAUCAAAAUUCAUGUAAAUAUUUAAAAAAAAAAUUAUACUCCACGAGUCUUGUUAUCCUCUUUCCAUCUGCCCAAGCCAUGUCGUCUUCCUCGACCCACUGUAACUUCUUUCUUCCUGCUGUAACUUCUUUCUUCGUCUUGUCAUCCUCUCUUUCCUCAGCUAGCUCACUCUUUUCCUCCAAUACCACUUGCAUCAAUGAGUAUUUUCCCCUUGGCUCUCUGCCCAAGCCAUGACCGAAUCUGGCGUCCGAUAUUAUACAAGAAAGAGGAGGGAUCAAUGCAUAGGGGUCUUAAUGUGGGCCGUGGGCGUCAGGAGAAACCGAGGAAGUGGUAAUACGGGCAUAUGGGUCGUUGGAUGUUCAUGCACAAAACACUGGCAGGGAUGAAAAAACGAAUUCAACAGCAGUUGUUAAAUAGACAUUCCCAAUUUAAUUUUCGUUCUACUGCGUUCUACCCUGAGUGCUGAAGCCAGACCGUUUUAGCUAAUUGGUUAUUUCGGAUGACGAUGUUAUAGUCGAUACUGCUUCACCCAUUCUAAAGCUGAUAAAGGGCAACCACAGAGAAAAGUCCCAGUGAGAAAACAAAUCACGCGUCCACAGAAAUGGCAUCACUACACAUAUGAUCAUCCAAGCCUGGAUAUUCAGUUUAUUUCGCUUGUUUGGUAAGGGAAAGUCUGCAGUGAAAAGAAGCUCUCCUCCUAACCAAAAGAAUGACACAUGUAAAUUACGGAAGAGCUACCCAAAUGAUUUCAUGGACAUUGAUCAUGAAGGAGCACCGAGCAGCAACUGUGCAUAAUUCUGUUUACAGGAAUUGUUCACGCAGCUACCUGCCCCAUAAGGCUUUGACGGAUCUGAAAAAAAAAAAGCACAGGUACCACAGAAACGUCAGUACCUCGUGGUAACUGGAGGCAGGAUAUAUUCAUAUAUCCGUGAUCACGUAUUCAUAAUAUGCUCAACUGAAUACAGGACAUAUUAGACCACAAGAACUCUUUUUUAACUUCUCAGAAACUAGCAUCUAGGAUUCUCAGAUUCCAAGGAUAUUCCUCCUCGAAAAGAAAAAAAGAUUCCAAGGAUACAGGAAUGUCGGAGCCUCCUGUUUCCCCCCCUGUAACCCCAACUCUGUUAUACUCUUGUUUAUAUACCUUUAUAAAUAUAUAUACUGACAGAGCCUCUACUACAGUUUUCGGUAAAAAAAGAGGAUGCCGGAAUGUGGAAAACGUAGGAUUACAGUAUUGCUGCCGUGUGGAAUCCUACAAGAUUAAUGUUUGAUUGCACCACAGGAAAAACGUAUGGAUCUUUCUAAGAACGGUCAAUGGGAAUGUUUCUAUGAAGCUAGUGCAAAUGAAUCCUUAGGAAACUCUAUGGAUUAUAAUCCUACAGAUCAAACAGCAACUCCCAAAAAACUCUUUUUAAAUCAGAGGCGUCCUCAAGGACACCAAAGGCACUUCAACAUGUAAAUGGUAAGUUACCAUCUGCAGAUCAUGUUCAUUUUCUAAUUAAAUAUACUAGGUUAAAAAGAUACUCCAUAUAAUCAACAAGAUUGCUCUCAAAUAUUAAAUGACAAAUUUUACCGUAACCAGUUAGCAUAUAAAAUGCACAGUUUCCCCCGGCGCCGAUUAGGAUGUAAUUAAUCCAGGGGAAAUUUAACAGGAUCACUUACGAAUGAAAAAGGCAAAGGACAAAAGAACAACACAGUACAUACCUCAGGUAGCUUCUUUCUGAAAACAACUUCUAGUCUAGCAUCCAAUGUGUUUUCGAAGACGAUCUUUCCAUCUUGGGAAGCUAGUACAACUCCACCAGAGCUAGAUUAAAAGGUACAAGAGUAAGCUUUAGACAUGACAUCCACGGAUUUAUUAGUCAACGAGCAUGAUUUAGUUAGUUUCUUCUGGAAACAACAGGUCUAGGAAAUUUACUCAAGAGAAAGGACCACUCAAAUGGACUAUAGUAUGAAAAUAGGAAUAGCACUUCGAAAAACAUGUGAACACGUAGGAUAGCAAUGCAUAAACAAUUGAACAAAAGAAAAGAGAAACCACAAAGAAGAAUGCUGGCAAUGGUGGCACUGGCAGCAGCUUCUUCAGGGUCGAAAUGAGAAUGACUUGUUCUUUCUUUCUUGCUUAAGGAAUAAGUCAAUCUGCCUCUGCCUCCUCUUUAAACAGACAGGUCCAAACAAAUAGCUCUAGAAGUGAAGAGAUAGAUAAAUAUUCUAAUAGACAGCUUGGGUAUCAAGUCACUAAAAAAUGCAAGAUAAAGGUACUGCUGUAAACAAAAUAAAGGUGUGUGUCUUUGCCACUGCUGCACAUAACAGCUGGAUGGAGAUAUUCCUUCCUAAUGCCCCAUUCCAAUCCACACAAUGGGAGCAACAGGGCACUGUUUCAAGAAUAAACACAAACAUGCCAAGAAUAUUGAGAAAAGAAAAUCCCUUCUUCCAGUUACAUAUGCUUCUACCAUAUGGCAUGUACCAUUUGCCCAUUUGCAUCUAAGAAUGUUGCAUUUAAGCCGCCUUACAACAGGUUCUAUCAUAACACAACUCAAAUACUCGAGUAAAAUAAAAUGCAAUCUAAUCAUACCAAAGUCCUUCAAAUGCUAGUGCACAUUCAGGAAGGAAGCGCUGAUUAUUGAAAUCAUGAUUAUGAGUAAAAGACGUGAACUAUGAUGGAUACUUAUGGCUUACUAUUCCACACAAAAAUGCAAUUAACCUUCCAUAAAAUUUAAAUGAUGAUCAUAUUCCUCAAACAAACAAAAAUGAUGAUCUUGAGUAAAGAGGUGUAGUAUGAUGGAUACUUGUGGCUUAUGUACACAAAAAGACUGCAAGUAUUACCAGGAUUGGCCAUGUGCCUCAUAAUGACUAGGAGCAGAAGGCAGAUAGACUUGACGGUCUACCACGAUUUCAGGCGGAUAUACAUUUGCUUUUUCCGCAUAUUCAUUCCUCGCCAACUCCAAAACUGAUUCAACGAGAUCACGGUCCUCCUUCCUGCAGCGGAGAAUCACCGCUGGUUCUUUCAGACGCAACAAACCCUGGUGAGGUAACAUGUCGCAUUAGAUAAUACUACUGGCUAUUUAAAAAGUCAUGGAAACACCGAAAUAGUGCCUAUUUAUUAAAAAUAAAAGAUCCAAGUGUCUCUACUUACGAUAUACAGAUGGUUGGCUCUACUCGCUAUAUACAGAUGGUUAGAUAUACCAUAAAUCUAAUGAUUCCUCAACAACAGCAACUAUUUACAUUCAACUAUUGUCUACUCAUGUAAUAAAGUCUUACAAAAACAAAAUACAUAUAUGUGGAACAAUAACCCUUGCAAAAGUUAAGAAUAUAGUAGAAAAUUAUCACAGUUUAAAAUCUACUCCAAGAAGUAGAAAUGUUACUCUUCAAGGAGAAGAAAAUAACCAGUUCCUAAACUUUCACAGCUACUGCUGGAAUUUGGCAAACUAAAUCCAAAAUAACCAAUUUUAAUUUUUUAGUCAAUUUCCAUGGAUAUCUGCUGUUUUUCAAGAAAAUAAUUCACUCUGUUACAUAUUUGGGAACAUGAUGGUAUUACAGACAGCUUCUGCCCAAAAUCAGAGAGUUUAUGACCAAAUUUAACAUCGGUAUUGGAUUGUGUUAGUGUUAUCGUUAAAAGUAAGAGUCCUACCACCACAGAGUAACCAGGAAAUGGCCUGAAAAUGGUAGCCUAAGGGAGACCGGUUAGUCGGUUACUAGCUCGAGAGUCGUGUAUUCUAUGUGUCUCCUCUUGGCAGUGCAGAUGUUCUUAUGUGCCUACCGGUGGAUGAAUUCACAACCCAUGUUUUCAUGCAUUAUGUUGCAAAUGAGCUAUUACUUGCAGUAGCAGCAAAAAAGAUCACACUUCGUAUUCAAGUUAAGAUAAAAAAAACCAUGCACAUUGUACUCUGCUGACCUGAACAAUAAGUAUCCUGAUAAGUUUCUUGUAGGUUUGAUGAUCUCGGCUUUGGAACAAUAGCUGUUUCCCAGCUGACUCCAUCAUAGACUUUACCAAAUCAUCUUGAGCUUGAAGAACUUCGAUUCGGGAAGCAUUGAGCUGCAUUGAGUAUUCACUGCAUAAAGUAACACACAAUCAAAUUUAGAGAGCAAUCCAUCUGUUUUAUCUUGUUUGCGACAUCCUAGAUUUAUCCAGAUGAGGAGGCCAUUAUGCCAAAAGGAGAAAAGUUACAAUUAGUAUCUGAUGAACUGGUUACUCUCCAGUGUGCAAUUUGUAGAAGAAAAAUAAAUAGUACAACCCGGACUAAGAACUUUUACAUUUUCUUUUUGAUAGCAACUUGCUUCUCUUUCCGUUCAUACUCCUGCCUGAUCUUCUUCUUUUCAGCUUCCACCAGUUGCAAUUUCUCAAUUUCAAAUUCCUGAGUUAUCAUUCUCAUCAGAAAAUUAGUAUAUAAAAUUUGAAGAAGGCAUCACCCAAAUUAUUAGGAUUUACUCAAGCCAUGCUCACCCAUUAUCAAAUAUCCCAACAAUCCAAUGCACACAAAAAAAACAAUGGAAAUAAUAGACUAACAGAGUACUUCAGGGGAACAUUAUAAAGUUUUUUUUUCCGACAAACCUCAAAGGGGUAGGGAGUUCCUGCAAUUCACCGUAGAAGAGUAGUUACCCAGUUAAGUAUAUAACUUUUCUAGAGUUGCAUUACAUUGUAGCACAUAAUUUGUUACUGUGCUAUUGAAGGAAGGACAAAUGGAUGUCCUAAUUAGUAGCAGCACUCGUACAGAGAUACUCUAGUCAUGCUAGAGAAUCUGCAAAAAUUGCAAUAUAUGCCACAGAUCACAAACAUUUGACGAGGUUCCAUAAAAAAAAAACAGAUCACAAACAUUGCUAGCAUAAAAUUCGAACAUUCCAGCAGCACGCGAUGUAGGAAUCUCAAGACAAGGCUAAUCCAAAAGGCAGCCCCCCAUUAACCCAGGCCCCAAAGAAGACCUCUCAGGGCGACGUCGUUGUCCGAUCCAUGCCCCCAGUUCGCUAGCACCAUACGCUACCCUGGAGCCUUAACGCAACAGAUCCGACCCUCCGCGACCCCGAUCUCGCCGAUCGCAGCCGGGAUCCAAAGCUGACAAGUCCCCUAGAAGUGGAACGCACAGCGGAAGCGGAACCCAGUGUUACCUCGGCGGAGGCGACCUCGAUCUCGGAGGCCUUCUCGACGGCCUCCAGGCGGAUGAAGUCCGUCAUCUGCUUGAGCUGCCGCGCCACAUCCCCUUGGUCCAUCUUCGCGGUCGGUUAGAAAGAUAGCAGUGACUAGUCAGCCCUUCUUCUCCGGUGAUCGGCGGGGCGGUGACGGCGUGCGGGGAUGGGUUUUGAUUUCUCGUGGAGGGUGUCGCGGGCGGCGUCGUGGCGAUUCGUUUCUACGAGGGUCACGUGGUCGACGGGGCCAGUUUUGCACGCGCCCCCUUGGGCAUUACCAGUGUUUGAGUCAGAUCCGAGUUUGGAUUUGCAAUCUGCUCCAAACACGAUUUAUUCUUCGUUCUUCAAAGUUCAAACCCUGGGCAGUGUUGAGUAACUUACAAGUUUUGAUAAUUUUUAUCUAAAAAUUAGUUUCUACAGUACUCCAUCCAUUACAUGAUUCUUGUCGAAAAAUUACAUGUAUCUAGACGUUUUUUAAGAAUAAAUACAUUCAUUUUUGAGCAAAUUUGAGACAAGAAUUAUGAAACGGAGUGAGUACAAUAUUUUUUGCAGUACUUUAGUUUCUACAAUUACCUUUGUUUUCGCGAGUAUUUGACAUGGAGUUAUUUAUUACACCAGAUGUAGGAGUAUGCAAAAACUGAAUACAAACACGAAAAAAAUUCGUACUAGUGAAAUUAACACUUGUCUUUUCGUGAGAGAGCUCUGUUGUCUGUUCGUCUUUGCUGGUAUUACAAACUGGGACAGUUCAUGUUCGGUCCACACUCGCGUAAAGCAUAAACGCUGAGAAAAAGCUCGAGUGGCACAAGAACGAAGAAGAUAGAGUACGCAAUUUGAGCUGGCACAAACUAGGAGUAUGCUCUUUAAACUUGUACUCCGUAUAUACACACAGGUAGGGCACACGGGAACUCUGAACCAGCAUACCACGCACAAGAGAAGCCCAAAGCAGACGCCGGGUGAGAUGCGCAUCUACGAGAACGAACGAUAAAGGAUUACAGGGUACACACAUGAAUUUCUACUCAUCGCCAGAAAAAGCAGCAAGAGGUCCGGGGCCCCUGGCUUUCAGAAGUAGGGGAAGCGCCCCAUCAUGGCCGGCGGCGAGCCGGACUCCCUGCAGAGGGAGUCGAGCUUCCACCCGGGCACAGACACGGACACGGACUGACUCUCCUUUCUGCUCGCCGGGGAAGGCGAGCCCGGGCUGACGGGCUCCUUGGUCGCCGCCUUCACCGCGUCCACGGCGCCGCCCCCCGCCGCCGGCCUAGGCGCCGGGACGAUGGUUAUCUCCGGCGUCCGACUGCUGCUCCCUUCCAUCUCCUUGCUUCUUCCUAGUGUAUGCUGUAGAGAGACCUUUUUUCAGUGUUAGAACCAGUGUUCUGUUGUGCAGUGCAGUGCAAUCUGCUUUGCCUUUAUGCAAUUUGUAUCCGGCUUUACACGGCGAGGAGACAAAGAUAAGAGCGACGGCGAUGGGUUUGGUUCUCUUCUUUAUUGGUGGGAGAGGAUAAGAUCAAGAUCGUCAUCAUGGGUUUUAUUUUUGAACAACUCAGCACUGAAUUAUCCUUGAAUUAUUGCUCAAGAUAUUGACGAGCUGGUGGACCUUGACAGAGACCGAUCGCUUUUCUUUCGUGGUUAGUUUUACCUUAUCCUCUUUCCGGGGUAAUUUUGUAAAAUUUGGCUUUGAAUCAUUCAAAAUGAUGGUUACCAAGUGGACAACUGUGGACAUAAACAUCUUUCAUGUGAUCAAUCGGAAAAAUAAAUGGCCACCAAAAUAUCAAUUCCAUGGUCCAUACUCUAGAUUCUUAUAUUAAGAUCAAGAUCAAGAGCACUUUUCCUAGGACCCGUCAGUAAAAGAAAUGGCCAGCAAAAUAUCAAUUUUCAUGGUCACUCCAGGUCCUUGUGUUUGAACCUAAAUGCGACUAGCAGACUAACAUGUACUGGUUCACCUGGAUAGAAAUAUAUCUAUAAUCUAAUCUACCAAACAUCAAACUAAAUAAAGAUCAGGUUACAUACAUCGAGCACUUGUACAACAGAACGAGUGAACUGCCAGACUUGGGACUGAAAACAAUCAUAAGCCGAAAAGAUCAUUGGUGCCAAAGAUGGAUCCACCAAACUGCCUGGUGUUCAAGUCUCCGCCAUCAAGGGCCGAUGGGAACCUGUCGAGCCACUGGGUAAGGUUUGGGCUGUCUGAUGAAUCCUCCACCCACGGCGAGGUCAUGUCGAUCUCAUCAAGCGCAAUCGGAUCCCCGUCACCUUUCUUCUUUGUUGUCAUUUUGGGGUCAGAGUGGAGCAUGCGAUUGUAGUGCACGUAGGCUUGGUCGGCCAAUGCCUCUUUGUCCAACUUGUUGCGCUUUUCAGAGUAGCUCUGGAGGAUGAUACUCCAGUCCCUUUGGAAGGUCAGGGUGCUGCAGACCUGACUCACUAUUCUUACAGCAGCAUGUUGCAAUGCUGGCGCUGAAUCGCCGUACUGUUCCCACCACAUCCCUGAAGAGCACAAAUUUCGUUAGAAAUACAUCCAGACAAAGAGAAAUACACGAGAGCCAUCAAGCAUAGAAGACAAUAAGCUGCAUUGCAACAUGUUCACCUAAGACCAGUAAAUUGGAACUAUCAUUAUCGGCUGCAGGAAAUAGGUGCCAAUGCCCUAAUAUCGAUGCAGCUACUACUUAGGAGACUAAAAAUGGAGAGCCACUCAGCCAUUUUGAAGUGUGAUAUUUAGCAUAAGGGAGAAACCCUGGAAAAUAAACUUUUUAUGACAAGUGCUCCAGGAUAAAAUACAGUUGGCUUACCUACUCGAGAAAACGCCCAGUUUAUCUGGUGUUGCCACUGAGAUAAUUGGUGUUGAAGAUAUUGUCCUGUUUUUUGAAGAGAUUUCUCAAAGGGUGGUGUAAUUGUAGAUUUACUGAAAUGCUAAUGUUUUGCUUGGUUUUCCCUUUUGUGACUACUACAGCUUGUGCGAUCUGGCAAAUUAGAGAAGAAAUGGAUACUGGAAAUCAUUGUCCCGUCAACCUAUUUAUACUUAUUCAAAAUCCUAUCUUACAUGCAGAAAUGUAAUCUUCUGUUAUAAUAGGGAGAGCAAAUCAAGAUGGAUCAUAAUAUAUAGAUCAUGUAGGUUUUGCUGGUUUCAUGGUUCAGUUCAAGAAUGAAUAUGCUGAAGAUGUGGUUUUUGAAGAGUUUGUGUUUUGGGUGUGAGGUGUGCUCAUAGGUCAAAGGAUGGUAGUGCGAUGCACUCAAAAUUGAUGUGUACCAUGUGGAUCUUGCUGGAUGCAGCCGACAACCCCUCGUUUAUGUAACGAUUGUAAGAACAUUAAAAGUUUCAAUAAAAGUUGGGUACAAAUUUUGUCUAAACAUGAAAUAAAAAUAAGGAUCAUUCCCAAAAACAGCAUCAGAUAUUUAACUGUACGCUUAAUGUGCUUGUAUAUAUAUACCACACAAUAGUAAAUAUACAGCCACCAACUCCGCUUGCAAUUUUUUGUUGGAAUAUGGACACAUCAAAAGUAUCAACCUGCUAUCCUUGUGGUUAAUUCUGGUACCAUGCUUAUGUUGCAAGUAAGCAAAGUAACCUGUUCAUGCAUUCAAGAAUAUUAGAAUGGUGCAGUUCAGGUAAGUACUACCUGGGGAGGUGUUGUUGCGGGCCUCUUUAGCAAUGUUGGAGGCAAACAUCCCUUGUGCCUUGCGGAAAGCAUGCAGUUCAGAAGUGAUACCUUGCCUUUGGUCUGGGGCUGUAAGCACUUUAUCCAGAACAUGGUAGAACUCCUCCUUGAUACUAGAGAAAAAUUUGACUUCUGGACUAUACUGGAUGCUUGGGUUCAGAAAAGCAGCUGCUGAAUGAAGAGGCGAGUGCAACUCUACCUGCCAUUUUUGCUCCACAAUGUCCAGAAAUGACUUGCAUUUGCUCUCAUCCAUUAUGUAGUAUGUUCUAAUAGAGUCCAUCACCUUUGUCAUAGACUCAUAUAUAUAACCAAUGGCAGCCUUGCCUCCUGAGACAUCCCUCAUGACCCUCAAUAGUGGUUCAGAAACAGCCGCUAUCUCUUCGACUGCUCGCCAAAACUCCUCGUCAUUGAGGACCUCAACGCAGGAUAUACUAAGAGAUCUAUUUGCAUAUGGUGAAGAUACAUAGUCAGAGCUGUGAAACAUUUGCUUCAGCUUUGACCUGUGCCUCAACAAUGACUGCAGAGUGAGAAAAUCUGAUACAGACUUUGUAAUCCCUGAGCAAACAAGCUCCUGCCCUACCAUACACUUUCUCAUAAGAUCAAGAACCCAAUUGUUAUUGUAGAUAAAUCGUGUGAUGGAUUGCGCUUGACAGAUGCACUGGUUCACCCAAUCAAUCUUGGAAAACUCAUCCAACAUUGAGUUCACACAAAAAGAAGCACAGGGCGACCAAAAAAUGGUGUUGUAGUUCUGCACGAUCAGCUUAUCUAUAUUGCCAUAGUUUAUAUUCUUAUCACUGAUUAUUUGAACCACAUUGUCUGGACCAACUUCCUGAAUCACUUCAUCAAAAAGGUCGUACAGCCCUCUGUGGCUUUUCAUGUGUGGAGAAGCAUCUACUGUUUUGAGGAAGAAUGUCCCAAGUGGAGACGACACAGAAAAGUUGAUUAGAGCUUUUAAUUUGUUAUCAGUCCACGAAUCGGCUAAUAUAGUACAACCUGUAGUCACCCAAUCCUUUUUUAUCUCCUGAGUUCGCUGCAGAACCUCUGAUUUGAGCUUCUGCAGCCACUUUGUUCUCAAAACAUCGGCUGAUGGCCCUCGGAACCCCUGUCCAACAAGUGUGUCCAUCAUAUGCCUGUACGAAACGGAGUCUGCGAUACUAUAGUCCAACUUAUUCUCGAAAAAGAACUCAGCUAUGCACCGUUCUGCUUCCAAACCUGAAGCUGGACGCGGUUUGUUUACAACACCAGAUGUUCUCAGUACUGGAGGAGACACUUCCAGGCCAAGCAGCUGAGUCGUCUCGACGGCAGGAAUAAUAGGAGGUGAAGUAGGCAGCCCUGGAGAUGAAGGCUGAGAUGGAAGUUCCCGCGUUCUUUUCGGAAGUACCGACAAUUCAGCUACACGUUUCCUCUUGAGAAGCUCAAGCUCCCUAUGCGAUUCCUUGGCUUCUAUGAGAGCAAUCACCUUUUCCCUGACAUCAUCCUUCACCCUGACACAAGGGUUGACACCUUUGCUUGGAAUUUGAGACAGAUGAAACUUGAACCUGCUUAUACCACCAUUUAUAAUCUUGAGGCAGAAUUUGCACCUGACCCUGUUCCCGUCCAGCUUGUCGCCGUACUCCCAGCAGGCAUCCUUCUCCCGCACUGAAGCAGUAGAUAGCAAAUGAUCACAAAAGAUAAAUGCAGCAUACCGUUGUUUGUUAUAUGAAUGAUUCGGAUUUACAGAUGAUACAAUUGAGAGAGGAACAAUACUUUAUGGUGAAGCUGGAGCCGACUUCAAGUCGAUAUCUGCAAAAGAAUUAAAGGCAUGAACACAAAGACCUCCUUCUUAUGAUGUUAUGAAAAAAUUUGGGUAACUAGGAACUGAAUGUAUCGCAAGUAGAAGCUCAAAACCUAAAUCAGUUUGAAACAAGUCAGUUCAACUGUGGGGAAGCAGCAUAUCGUAGUGUGUGUAGCUGUGUAUACAAUACAACACAACUGUUUUCAGAUAUUACAUCUUCAAAUUAUUAAUCUCGUUCCGCGAGAAUGCUCUGAAAACUUUCGUGUAACAACAGGGAAUUUACUAGUGUUUACAACAGUGGAGCAUUUCGCAACCUACAAUCUACCACUACUGCUUAAAUGCAGUCAAACGGUCUUUUAUGCUGUCUGCAGCCCUGAUCGGGGAAUUCAACAGCCAGAGUAUCAGCAGCAGAAAAGGAAACAAAAUUGAUUUAUUUUUCGAUGUUUCCCCUUUUGUUUGCUCGUAUCAACCCAACUCCCGCAACUGUUCGAGCCCGCCAAGCACAAUAGCUUCAACGAGGAAUUUCAUAGAUGGAUACCAAAAAUUUAGGCCAGAUCGGCGAAAUAAUCGCCCCGAUUCGCGAGGAAUAAUCGCGUGCGGAGUAAAUCGAGAUCCGAGAAGGAUCCGAGUUCGUCUAGCUUGUGUAGAUCGCGGGCGGGCGGAAGGAGACGGGGGGAGCUGUGCUGACCUGAGCUUCGGAGCAGCGAUUUUGGUAGGGUGUUUUCUCUUCUCGUGUCUCCCCGAUUUAUCGUCUCCUGGUCGGUAGGUGGCCGCCGCUGCGUGGCGAGCGGAGCUGUGCCUUUGCCGUGGAGGAGAAGAGCGUGCGAGAUGUAUAAAGCUUGGGGAAAGGGAGAAGGGAAUGGAUGGACUGCGGGGGAGUACCGCGACGCGAGAUACCACGAUAUGGGUCGGAAAAAAAAGAUAGAUAACCACGAGAUGGACGACCGUCUCGUCCCGGUCUGCAAGGAAGAGACAGGGAAAGUGGGCGCGACCCAGCGGAAAACAGCGAAUGGCAAGUCCGACCAACCGUCGCACGGCAGAGCGCCCGGCGGCCGGCGGGCAACCCCAAGCCGGCUGAGGGCAUCGUCGACGCCAUCUCGGCGGACGUCGAACGCACUUCUUCUCGUUGUGAGGCGCGCUAAUUUUUUAUAAAUAAUACGAUCCAGGCCAACUGGAGGCAGGCUGCGCAGAGUGGGGGUCCCGCAAGAGGCAAUUGGCUUCGUCCAGGUCGACUGAAACCCAGUUGGCUUCGCCCAGGUCGACUGGAUGCAGUUGGUUUCACCGAAACCGAUUGAGGCUAAUCAGUUUCACCAAAACUAGUUGGUUGCAUGAUCAAUACAUACACGGUCGAGGUCCAAUUUUUUGUCUCGAAUCCUUGCGGUUUUCUUGAUAACUUGAUAAAGUAACAUACAUAGAUAAUGUGUUGGACAAUUUUUGUGUCGAUUCCUUGCGGGUUUUUUGAACUGAAAGACUUGACAAUUUGGAUAAAUUAACAUGCAUCGAUAAUGUGCUGGUUACGGAACCAAGGCACGACUAAAUUAACAUACAUCGAUAAUAUCGUAAUUGGACAGAAUUAAAGAUAGCAAAUACAAUUGAAACACAGUACAAGCACUACUGAGUCCACUUAGGCCAUUUUCCGCUCGUGUCGCCACGUUCUUCUGCAGCCUUUGCCACGGCGGCCCUUUUUCUUUGCCUCUCCCUUUCUGCCUCACGAGCAUCCUUGCGCCUUCGUUCCUCCUCUUGCAUCUCAAGCGUUUUCUCCCUGUUUUUCCUUAGUGCUUCAUCAAAGUAACGACGUUGUUUCGCCCUAUGCUCUUUCAGCUCUCUCUCUUGCUCCUCUUUCUCCUGGGCUGCAGCUUUUUCCGCACGCUCCUCCGCGUGAAAACGCUGCCAUGCACUUCGGGACCUUGUUUUAAUCUCUUCCACCGCCCAAUCCGGCAUCUCCGUGUCAAUCCAACGAUACCACAUGCAUAGGGGCGGAGGAGACUACAAAAUAGCCUAAUGUUACAAAUAAAUCGAAUAUGACACGCACAACAUGUUUAAGCACGCCUAUAUGUGCUUACCGGAGGCUUGUCGUACGGCGAAACCGGGACAGGUGGAUCAUGCUCAUAGUUCGCACACAUGAAAAACUUCAUGCCCAGCUUAUCCGAAAAAUCUUUCACCUCCUUCACCUUGCAUAGAUUGCCGCACAAACACCUGAGAUGUUCCACCCCCGGAGGCAACAUCGCUUCUUUCAUCUUCCUCGGCCUCUCGCCCUGGUCAGAGCAAGACAAACUCAUUGGGAGACACUGGAAUAUUGGAAAAAACAGUAGUGGGAAGGAUGCUUGGAUGACUACCAAAGAUGAGGUAUUUAUAGGCUCUCAAACUCAUUCUCCCGCCACCGUUUCUUGCCUGGUUUUCCCGCCACCGUUUCUUGCCUGGUUUUCCUGCCACCGUUUCCCGCUUUGUUUUCCCGCCACCGUUUCCCGCCUAUUUGUAUCUUCUAUAACUAUAAAAGAUCGGCCAUGGUAUUGAAGUGUAGUCUCACCAUUUCAUCUGGUCCCAGAGGCUAUUGUGGUUAGCCGGUGAUUUCAAGGUAGACAAUAGGAUAGUUCCAUGGGACGAACUCAUUAGUAGUGACACCCUACUAACUGAGCUGGGCCACCAAUUAAGAAGGUGCAAUUUCCCAUUGAGGACUUCUGCAGAGAUACGGCAGGAACUGCUAAGUUUGCACGAAAGGUGGAAGAAGCACAGUCAAGGUAAGAGUGAGUCAUACCUACAAUGGGCUAGAAAACAUCCAUUGUUAUGGGUUGAAGAAGAGGAAUCCGAUGAAGAUAUCUUCAUGCCAAGCAAAACGGGUAAGAGUUCUUCAUCGUCCAAGGGGAAGAGUACUGCACCGUCGAAGGGAAAGAGUACAUCAUCGUCCAUGGGCAAGAGUAUUUCAUCUUCGUAGGGCUAGAGUUAGGUUAUCUUAUUUUAAGUUUUCGGUUUUAAUUUCAGUCUUUCUAUUGCAUAUGUAUUUCAGUCCUACCGUUUUUAAUUUGCAAAUGUAACUUGAAUAAGAAUGCGAGAAACAGUAACAUGUCUCUCUCAUACAUAGGUAGAAAUAUGUCUCAUACAUAGGUAUAAAUAUCUCUCAUACAUAGGUAUAAAUAUGUCUCAUACAUAGGUAGAAAUAAGUCUCAUACAUAGGUCCUACAAGCAAAUAUCAGGCACGGCGUCUGGGACGGCGUUCCGGGGGUGCCUGUGGCGUGGUCCAACCAUACCUAUGAGGUGGCACAACGUUGCACGGAGGAAUCACGGACCCAUCCUCGCGAUACUGUGUAUCCUCCUCUGUGGGGUCUGGUGGCGGAGUAUUGAACAUCCAACUGUGUUGGACAGAAUAGUCCUCUCCUUGAGCGUGAUCCUGCUCACUACCCCAUGAGGGUUCGGACAACGAUGACUAAUGCCCGUAGGCUCCUGCAUGUGGGAAAGUACUUAGCAUUAAAAUUGUGUAGCAGUCAUGGUAAUGAACACCAUAGAUAGAAAUAUACAUACCUUGUGGCUGGGUCUUUGGACGAAACUCAAAGUUCAUCGUGGGACUCUGCUAGUGCUGCCACGCCGAACCUCCAGCUUGAAAAGAAGGGGGCUGCUGCUCCCACGCCAAACCUCCAGCCUGAAAAAAGGGCUACUGCUGGUGCCAGUAGUCGAAAGAAGACUGCAGCUGGUGCCACGACGAACCUCCGGCCUGCUCAGGAGGUGGUGGCCUGGGCGUCGACUGCUCUGGUAGACGUGGACGCGGGUGGUGUCGGGGGUGCGGUGCUUCCUGCUGACGUGGCCGCUGCUGGUGCGUGGAGGGACGCGGGGGCCGUACGGAUGCCUGGUGGUGAAUGACGUCCGAAGUGCGGGUGCACGUGAUAGCCGCGUAAACAGAGCGUAGCUUCUCCUCCAUUCGUCUAAGCCAGGACUGGUGUGGCUCCCGUGGUAGUAGAAGUGGACCGGUCGAAAGCGAACGUCCAUACGCAGCGAACUCGGCCUGUAAAUCCUGUGUCAACUGUGCCUGCAAUUGGCACGAAGAGUAUUACAUAUAUAUGGCAAAGUACGUAACAAACACAUGCAUUAUGUUAAUAGAAAAUAUUUACCGCGUGCUGUCUAGAGCCUGAAGUAGACUGGCUAGGUGUCGUAGCACGGGGCUCAGACACCAGGGAUGCGUGGGCACCCCCUUUGAGGUUCGGCAGUGGGCGACGGGGAUCGCCCCGGCGGUCGCCGGCGAGGCCAAUGCAAAGCGUAAGAGCACAAUGAACACGAGAUCGUUUAUCCAGGUUCGGGCCACCCUGAGGUGUAAAACCCUACGUCCUGCUUCUGAGUUCGCUAUUAGCCAAUGAGUUAGGAUUUACAGGUUGCCGGGGGAGUCCCCGGGUGCUCUCCCUUUUCGGCUAAGUGCCUUUUGCUACUUCUGGCUACUACCAGUGGUGAACUGAGGAUUCAUCCAACCCUUUGACCGUUGACGGGGGUCCUCCUUUUAUACCGAUGGGAUGCCAGAGGUGCCAUGGUGCAUGGGUGACAAAUGGCGAGCAGAGAGCUAGGGCAGCUCCUCCUCGGUGCGCUGGCUUGCAUGCAGAUUAGGUAGCCCUGCAGCUAGGGGUCUAGGCGCCUGAAAUUUAGCCCAGGCGGGUCACUGUAGGCUGAAAGGACGGGGAAUCCCCUUUUGGUCGGAGCAUUUAAUGCUGGCGUGUGCUUCACUCCUCGUCUUGACGAAUCCUGCACGCAGCGCGCCCGCCGAGCGGCCACGUGGUGUCGCUGUUGCUCCCGCUCGCUCCUGCUCUUGUAACGGACACUUGCGCCCGGGAACACCCUCCCCGGCAAGUAAACUUCCCAGGAAGCGCCCCGGCGGGAUUUCUCCUGCUGCCCCGCCAGGCAACCCUCGCCGCCCGUCAAGCCCUGCCGGGUUGGUGACUUGCCGGGCAGCUCAUGCGGAGCUGCCUGGGGUGCGGUCCCUCCGAGGGGGCAAGCGAGGUGGCCCACGCGUCAUGCAGCGGUGGUGCCCUGGGUGCCACUGGUGCGACAGUAGCUCCCGGGCGUGGGCCGGCAACGCCUGUUCCCGGAUAGAACCUUCCCUGCUCGGUUGCCGGGCUACGCCCUUAACCGACGCCUGGGUCCCGAGCCGCUUCGGGGCCCUGCUUAUGCGCCGCUUGAAGGGUUCUGCCAUUACGUGCAGAGUAGUGGGCGCGAGAUUUCCGCCUUAACCUCCCCAUUAAACACGGGUGGUUAAGGCCACGCCCUGCGUUAUCCCCUCUUAGGGGGUAAUUAUCCCAGCGCAUCCGAAGGGUGCGGAUGCGACCGUUGCUCGGCGCCGAGGCGCUAUAAGACCCCGCCGCUGCGCUAGGGAGCAAACACUUAGCCCCCCAGCUUUUCCCCUUCGUCUCCAAUCUUCCUCGCGCCCCUGCCUCCGGCCAGCUUUCGCCCACACCUCUCAUGGCGCCCCCCGCUCCCAAGAAAGGGAAAGGCUCCAAGAGGCCUGCAACCGGCAGGAGCGAGGAGGCUUCCCAGAAGCCCGUCUCGAAUAAGGACCAAAAGAGGAGGGAGCUGAGGGCCUCGUGCGCCUUCUUCCGGCCCGGCUACAACAGCGAGGCGCUGGACAAGGUCCGGCACGCCGGUGCCUCGCACUUCAACGAGUACGGGGAGACCCUCAUUUUCCCCGCCGGCGCCGACCACCAAGAAAACGACUUCCGGGUGUUCGCGCGCUUCAUCCUUGCCGGGUUGGUGCCUCCGUACUCCCUGUUCCUCCAUGCGCUCAUGGAGGCGUACCAGCUCCGGGUGGCGCAGCUCCCCCCCACCUCCCUCUUUCUGCUUGCCGUCUUCCAAUUCCUUUGCGAGGUGUUCGUCAGAUUAAUGCCGUCAGUGGUGUUAUUCCGGCACUACUUUGUUGGAAAUAUGCCCUAGAGGCAAUAAUAAAUUUGUUAUUAUCAUAUUUCAUUGUUCUUGAUAAAUGUUUAUUGCCCAUGCUAUAAUUGUAUUGAUUGGAAACUCAAAUACAUGUGUGGAUAAAUAAACAAAUACCGUGUCCCUAAUACGCCUCUACUAGAUUAGCUCGUUGAUUAAAGAUGGUUAAGGUUUCCUAACCAUAGACAUGUGUUGUCAUUUAAUAACGAGAUCAUAUCAUUAGGAGAAUGAUGUGAUGGACAGACCCAAACCUAAACAUAGCUUUUGAUCGUGUCACUUAAGUUUAAGUUGCUUAUGUUUUAUUAUGUCAAGUAUUAUUUCUUUAGACCAUGAGAUCAUGCCACUCCCUAGUACCGGAAGAAUACUUUGUGGGCAUCAACCGUCAUCUCGUAACUGGGUGAUCAUAAAGGUGUUUUUCAGGUAUCCCAGAAGGUGCUUGUUGGGUUGUAUGGAUCAUGACUGGGAUUUGUCACUCCUUGUGACGGAGAGAUAUCUCUGGGCCCUCUCGGUAACAUAACAUCCUAAUGAGCUUGCAAGCAUGCGACUAAUGUGUUUAGUUGCGGGGGUAUUAUAUUACGGAACGAGUAAAGAGAACUUGCCGGUAACGAGAUUAAACUAGGUAUGGCGAUACCGACGAUCAAAUCUCGGGCAAGUAAUAUAUCGCGAGACAAAGAGAAUUGGAUACUGGAUUAAUUGAAUCCUCGACAUAGUGGUUCAACCGAUGAGAUCUUCGUGGAAUAUGUGGGAACUAUUAUGGACAUCCAGGUCCCGCUAUUGGUUAUUGAUAUUUGAUCAUGUCCACAUGUUCUCGAACCCGUAGGGUCACACACUUAACGUUUCAUGUUGCUUGGGUUAGAUGAGAUAAAUGAUGAUGAUAUCGAAUUAUGAUUCGGAGUCUUGGAUGGGAUCCUAGACGCAACGAGGAGCUCCGGAAUGUUCCGGAGAUAAAGAUUUAUAUAUGGAAAGUUGUUUUCAGGGUUCUGGAAAGUUUGGAAUAUUUCCCGGUUUUGACCGGGAAGCUUCUAGAAGGUUCCGGAGGGAUCCGGAGGGUUCCACCUUGAGGCCCACCUAUCCCUGGGCUAAAUGGGCCUGUGAGGGAGCACCCUGGCCUUAAUGGGCCGAGGGGCUAGCCCACAGGGCCCAUGCGGCCAGGAGGAGAGUCCUGGCCGCGGGAGAGUCCUGGCCGCAUGAGAGUCCUGGCUACCGGAGAGUCCUGGCCACGGGAUAGUCCUGGCCGGCCACGCCUCCUCUACCCCUAUAUAAAUAGAAGGGGGGGCAAGGGAGAGAGACACCCCAAGCUUUCAGUUGGAUCUCUCUCCCCUGAGCCCUCCUCUCCUCCUCUUUUCACGCGCACGGCGUAGCCCUGCCCGUGAGAAUAUUCACCAUAGUCACCACGCCGUCGUGCUGCCGGGAUCUCGUCUACCUCUCCCUCUCGCUUGCUGGAUCGAGGAAGGAGGAGACAACGUGAAGCUGAACGUGUGGAUACCAAGGAGGUGCUGUCCGUUCGGCACUGAGAUUGAUCUCAUUGAAAGUUCCACUACACCAACAACGAUCUCAUGAUCGUAACGCUUAGCGGUCUACGAGGGUAUGGUGUUCAUGAUCCCUCUCGUUACAUACAUCUAGUAUAUAUAUUCUUGGGUUUUCUUCCGCACUUCUCCUAGGAAAAUUUUUGUUUCCUAUGCAACGAACCUAACAUACUUCUACCCCCGCAUCGGGCAAGCGGGGGCGAUGUCAUCGGAGUGGUGUUCCACGCCCGCGACCGGAUGAAAUCAGAAUUCAUCGUCCGGUCGGAGAAGAAGAUAGAGAAGGAGUGGCGGGCGGACUGGUGCUGGGUCCAUGUGGAGGAACCCGAAGAGUUCAUCUUCACGCCCAUCGAGCUGCCGGUGCCCAACGACACCUGGCGGAACCGCUACCACCGCGACGCAGAGCUCCUCCCCAUCGUCGCGAAGAUCAAGGCUCUACGGCUAGCAGGGCUCACCGAUCUCGACGUGGCGCGUGCCUACAUCAGCCGGUGCAUUGCGCCGCUACAGCUUCGCUCCCGCCCCGCGUGGAUGUACACGGGGUCCGGGGACAAGACACGCCUCCAGCACGGGGGCGUAGACCCGGAGGCCAUCCAGGCGUGGGUGAAGGGGAUCACCGGCGAGGACGUCCCCGUCACGGAGCUGCCGCCAGGGGUUUUCUCCCUCCACGCCGGGGUUCCGAGGCCGCACGAUAUCAUCGCCGCCUACCCGCCCUGCAACAAGUGGGGGCUAAUGGUCGACUCCCCUGCUCGGACCCCACGUCCCCCUCCGCCUGCACCCCGUGGGAAGCGGGUGCUCGAGGAGAGCGGGGGAGAGUCGGAGGUCAACUGGCCCAACGUCCCAUCCUCCGACGAAAAGGCGGGCCAGGUUGCCGGGACCCAGGUGGUCAUCCCCGUGGCGGAUGAGGAGGAGGAGGAAGAUGAUGAUGCGCCCCUGAUCUUACGAAGGUCAAGGCCGCCGCGGAGGCCGCCGGAGCCGCGUCAACUUCCACGGCGACCGAGAGCGCAGCAACUCCUUGGGCGCCGGCAAGAGGGGGAGAGUUCAAGCUCAACCCUCUGAAAGACGGCUCCCCGUCGGGAGCCGGCAAGAGGGGGAGAGCCGACUCGCCACCCGCCGCGCCGAGCAAGAGGACGCGCAUCCGGGCCGGCACCAGCACUGACCCGCCCGGCACGAGGGCCGGCGGUGCCGCCAUUGCACCCACCGCCGACCUAAUUCUGGUAGAGGAGGAGCCGGCAACAGGUACCGAUCCCCUCCUUGAUCCCAUGGCAUGCGUUAAUCCCGUCCGCUUACCUACAACUGCGCCGCCUUCUAAACUCGCAGGCGAAAUCCAGCCCGCGGCAGGCGGCCCGGCGACAGGGGCCGGAAUGGGAGGGGAGGAAGCUCUUCCCGCAAGUUCGGUGGCCCUAGCCGCGGGGUUGGCGCUCGUGCAUGCAUGCCGGCGCACCGAGGAGGAGCUGCCCAAGCUCCUUGCUCAUCACUUGUAAACCAUGCACCGUGGCACCUGUGGUAUCCCCUUGGCUAUAAAAGGAGGACCCCCGCCAACGGUCAAAGGGUUCGGGUCGUUGGUUUUUUGGUUCGCUUCGCUCGUUGGUUCGUUUGCUGAGCCAACUCAUAGUACAACACUGGUAGUAGCCCGAAGUAGGAAAGAACACUUAGCCAAAAGAGGCCAUCUGGGGGCUUCCCCCGGCAACCUGUAAACAGAAGAUUUCAUAGUAAUACAAGCUCAGACAAGCUGGACGUAGGGUUUUACACCGCAAGGUGGCCCGAACCUGGGUAAAAAGCGUGUGCAUGUGUUCUUGGUGCGUUCUUACGCUUUGCAUUGGUCCCGCCGGCGAUCGCUGGAGCAAUUCUCGUAGCCCGCUGCCGAACCUAAAAAGGGGGUGCCCGCGCAUCCCCGAUGUCGGAGCCCCAUGCGAUGACAUCUGGCGCGCCAGGUAGGGGGCGCGUGAGGAGAGCUCGUCGGUGACCACCGGUGGCGACGUCUACACCAACAUCGGCCUCGUCCUCCUCGACGAAAGAGCCAACCACCAUGCCUCCCAAGCGAGCUGGUGACCCUCAGAUUGACCUGCGUGAAGCCCCAGCAGCACACACGCGGUCACAUGACACGCAGCCCUCGGCUAGGCUCGCGGCAGCCUUAGCUGCAAGCUCGGGCGCCAAGCGCCCUUCCUCGGCCAUGGCACACUUGUGCGCCAGGGCGUAGAGAUCCUGCGUCAUCCGGAUCCGAUGCGUGCUCAGCUUGUCCCGCAUCUUGGGGCCACGGACGUUGAUGGCGAAGGUGUUGACGAUGGCGGCAGCCUCCGCCUCCGGGAUGGAGUAGGAGAGGCUGGAGAAACGGUUGACAAAGGUCCGCAGCGUCUCUCCCGGCUUCUACACCACAGUGUGCAGCUCCGCCAUGGUUCCCGGGCGCUUGUAACCGUCCUGGAACGCACUCACGAACUGCUGGCGCAGGUCCGCCCAAGUGGCUAUGGACCCGGCAGGCAGGUUGAGCAGCCAAGUUCUCGCCGAUCCCUUGAGGACCAUCGGGAACCAGUUGGUCCUGACCUUGUCAUCGGCGCCGAUGGCGUGCAUCUCAACGUGUAGGUCAGGAGGAAAUCCUUCGGCUUCAUGGUCCCGUCGUACGUCCCAAGCGCCGGCACUCAGAACUUGCGGGGCCAUGUCACCCGUCGCAGCUCGCGGGUGAACGCGGUGCAGCCAUCCUUGGCACCCAUGGGAGCAUCCUCCUGCUCCUCCAGGCGCGGGCGCUCUACGUCGCACCGGUGUCGGCGCUCCAGGCGCUAGCGGAGAUCCUCCUGUUGGCGGGCGUUCAGGACGCCGCGCGCGUCACCCCGGGUGACGGUUGGUGACAAAUCCGAGGAUCCCUCGGGAUCCCAGCCUCCUUGCCCUCCCUGCGGGGGAGGGUUUACUCCCUGCCCCGAGGCGCGGGGCGCGUCUCCGCGUCCCGGGUUCUGCCCGCGGUCUGAGCCUGCCGGGGCGCCCUCGCCUUGCGGUUGCUGGGCGGCGAGUGCGAGGAGCUCAUACAGCUCCGCGCUCCAUGCUUCGUGUGCCGGCGUGCCCUGCUGCGGCUCGUACCGCACCAUGACUCGCGCGGCAAUGAUGGCUUCUACCGGGGUUUGGGAUGGGGGCAGUCGAUUCUCCGACCGGCUGCCCUCCGCCCUAUAUCCCCCGGCGCAACCCGGCGAGUGGGGUGCUACCCCGUCGGUGUCGCUCGUGACGCGGUGUGCUCAUGGCGCAGUUGCCGUUGCGCAUCUUCAGCCCGCGAUUCAACUCGCUGGUUGGAGCGGGCGGCACCGUGGCCGCUCGCGCGACUGGCUCCGACGCUGGGAGCCACUGGCCCCCUCGGCCGGUUGUCCGCCGACGGCCGAGGAGGCGGGGGCGGCAGCUGCGACUGCUGCGCCCGAGAGGGCUUAGGGUUCUACUGAGCCCGUGACGCGGGCUGCACGUCAUGCGAUCGUGUGUGUGCCGCUGGGGCUUCACGCGGGUCGAUCCGGGAGUCACCAGCACGCUUAGGAGGCAUGGCGACUGGCUCCGCUGUUGGAGUAGACGAGACCGAUGCUGCCGUAGACGAUGGCACCGGCGGCCACCACAGAGCUCUCCUCGCGCGCCCCCUACCUGGCGCGCCAGAUGUCGUAGCACGGGGCUCAGACACCAGGGAUGCGUGGGCACCGCCUUUGAGGUUCGGCAGUGGGUGACGGGGAUCGCCCCGGUGGUCGCCGGCGAGGCCAAUGCAAAGCGUAAGAGUACAAUGAACACGAGAUCGUUUACCCAGGUUCGGGCCACCAUGAGGUGUAAAACCCUACGUCCUGCUUCUGAGUUCGCUGUUAGCCAAUGAGUUAGGAUUUAUAGGUUGCCGAGGGGAGUCCCCGGGUGCUCUCCCUUUUCGGCUAAGUGCCUUUUGCUACUUUUGGCUACUACCAGUGGUGAACUGAGGAUUCAUCCAACCCUUUGACCGUUGUCGGGGUCCUCCUUUUAUGCCGAAGGGGAUGCCACAGGUGCCACGGUGCAUGGGUGACAAAUGGCGAGCAGAGAGCUAGGGCAGCUCCUCCUCGGUGCGCUGGCUUGCAUGCAGAUUAGGUAGCCCUGCAGACAAUUAGGGGUCUAGGCGCCUGAAAUUUAGUCCAAGCGGGUCACUGUAGGCUGAAAGGACGGGGAAUCCCCUUUUGGUCGGAGCAUUUAAUGCUGGCGUGUGCUUCAUUCCUCGUCCUGACGAAUCCUGCGCGCUCCACGUGGUGUCGCUGUUGCUCCCGCUCGCUCCUGCUCUUGUAAUGGAUGACAAUCAUAAAUUGUAGAACUGCACAUACCCGUGGACGAUCGGUGGAAGUGGAUCCUCCGUCGGUGGAGGAACGACCAACUGGCGUGCCCCAAACUGCCUCAUGACCCUCUGCUGGGUCAUCCCCUCCACACAGACGUCGAAGAUGAUCUUUGAUUUUGUCAUCCAGUAAGCGUAAUCUCUCGUGCAGACCGUGGACAUCCCGCCAGGGUAUCUAACAUCGAUGGCGUCCUGUGUGUACGGCUCCUAGACAACCGCCUCAGAGUGCAACACGUCGAACUGCUCGUUGACUAUAUCAAUUCCUGACCUGAUCGUGUGCAAAGCGUCUCUGUAAAAAAAAGAAGUUAGCUUCAUUCAUGGUUUAUGUAAACUAAUGUAUAAAUUUUACAUUCAACAUACCUUAUUACGUGUCCAAAUUGUCGCGAAAGUAGGCAAGUCGAUGUGUUCUAAGUCAAACAACUCCUGCUCAGGGUUAGCGUGAUCACCCAUAACGUCUGGUCGGCCGAUAGAAAACCUCCUCCACGACCAAAGCUGCAACAAUAAAGGACAUCCAAGCAGGGCUGACUUGGGCGACGCAAGCUAGCAAGCGUUGCACAUACCUCGGUACGUAGCCGCUAAGAUAGCCGAACCCUAACUUCUCUGUGUGAUAUCGUCACCACAAGUUGCAUCCGCGAUCUCCACUGCAAUAGGGAUGUAGCGUGCGCUAAUGGUGGUGACGUGGUUCUCGGUGAACAUCACCUUCCCGAGAAGCCACAUUAUAUAUGCCUCAAGGCUCCGAGUGAUCUGAGGCUCAGUCAUUUGGGUCUCUGGAUACCCAAACUUCUGAAUCUGCAUGCAACAAAAACAAGUGUUAGUAAACCCAUGCAAGUAUAUGAGGUAUGCUCUUAGAUAUAUUAACUUAAAACACAUCGAUCUAACCUGUUAAUUGAGCAACCAAUCUAGCUUAGGUCCGUGAGCCUCCGAGGUGAGUGGCCCAGCUCCGGCAAGAAUACCUUGAAAACGUAGGGCACAAAUUAACACAUAAAUAAAAUGGACAUGCAAGGGAUGAAUAAAUAAAAUGAACAUUUAAGGGAUGAAUAAGUAAAAUAUACAUGCAAGGGAUGAAUGAAUAAAUACCGCUGAAUCCAGGCAGGAUGUAUCAUCCAAUUUUCCUUAGGAGUGCGCGUGACAAGGAGCUCGACACUCCCAGAAUGCGCCACCAAUCGAGCAGCCCGAUGCUUACUCUCAAUCUCCGGAGAUAGCAAUGAUACUCUCUCCAUUUUGUACCUUCAACAUUUAUAAACAUAGUUAGACAUACAAUACAAAGUUAAGCAUAGUUAAACUGAGAGUACAUAUUAAAACAUAGUUGAACAAAGCGUACAAAUUAAUACAUAGUUUCACACAGAGUACAAAUUAAAACAUAGGGCACAAAUUAACACAUAGUUUCACAGAGUACAAAAUAAAACUUAGUUUCACAUAGAGUACAGAUUAAAACAUAGAGUACAAAUUAACACAUAGUUUCACAUAUAGUACAAAUUAAAACAUAGUUCCACAUAGAGUACAAAUUAUAGCAUAGUUCCACACAGAGUACAAAUUAACACAUAGUUUCACACAGAGUACAUAUUAAGGCCAUAGUCUAGUUUCUUCCUCUCCCUCGUCAUCCAUGUCUCCCUCUUCCACGGGCAGUAGCUCCGCCAGUACCGAAAGUUGGACAAUAAGUGUCCCUAUGGCCAAAAUGGUUGCAUAGAAAACAUUGCCGUGACGGUCCUCCGGCUUCAGAUUCAUCCAUAUCAUUUCGGAUGCGCCUGGACGGGCGUCUGCCUGUGCCUGUCCGCAGUAGCCCGAGGUCAGGGAUGCACCGCCUUUCACCAGGGGUUACGUUGUUGAAAUUGCCCAUUGCACGAAACCCUAGCAUCUCAUCCGUCCAUGUGCUAAGCACAAACUCUUUCAGGUAAUAGGGAGACACAAAUGAGAAUCCGUCCAUCCCUAGCUGCCCGCAAGCAGCAAGUACAUGUGAGCAAGGAAGGUGAAGCAACUUUGGUUUGUUGCAGGUGCACUCACACGUUGGCCACGCUUUAUUUCCAAUCUUCACCUCGUGUGUCCUCAAUUCAUUUCCAACGCCGAACUUGUCAGUUGGCAAGCGCACCUCAAAUCUGUGUUCUUGAUUACCUAUGGCGACGACAGUAUGAGACCUAGCCUUUUCCAUCUUUUCAUCCAUGUACUUCAUUAUCUUUUCACAGUACGGUGUAUUUGGGUUGUUCAUGAUAUGCAUUUCAGCUCUCUGGCGUCUAUCUCUGAAAUACUUCGCCGUGCCAUGGAAAAUACCCUCGACGAUGGCUGUAAGUGGUAAAGCCCUAUUUCCCCUUAGGACAAAGUUGUAUGUUUCUGUCAGGUUAGUAGUCAUGACGCCGUACCUAGCGCCAUGUGUGUCGUGCAGCAAAGACCACCGCUCCAGAGGCUCGUGCUCUAUCCACUGCUGAAAGUUUUUAAUCUGCCUCCCAACCCUUCUCCUAGUUCCGAGUGGGUCAAACCCUGGCAAGUCACAAAGCCCAACAAGUUCUUUCUCAGAUGGUCCUGUUCCAACUGCUGUCUGUGCAGCCACUGCUGCUACAUGUGCUGCUACCGCUGCGUUUCGUGCCGCUGUCCUCUCCCUAACAUGUUUCUUCGUGAACUCAUCAAGAUAACCACGUAUCCUAGUGUACUUCCAUUGUUGGUUCUGUUUGCAGAGUUUCUUGAAUAGAUUCAUAAGUGACUUGUUCCUAAACUGUGAGAAGAAGUUGGCCCCCAAAUGCCACAUGCACCAACGACUCUGCAUGUCCUGCCAUGGAGUUUGUUCAUCAGGCCCAAGGUUUGUCAGUGUCCUUAUCGCACUGAGUAUGCCUGCAUGUCUGUCAUGAAGGAUGCACACAUUCGGCUUAUCAUGCACAACUGCUCUCUUGAGCUACCUGAAAAACCAUAACCAACUUUCAGUGUUCUCACCCUCCACGAAAGCAAAUGCGAGCGGAACAAUUUGAUUGUUGCCGUCUUGACCAAUGGCGGUCAAGAUCCGCCCCCGUAUUUGCGAGUGAGAAAAGUGCCAUCUACGCAUAUCACCGGUCGACAAUGAGUGAAAGCUUGGACGCAUACACCGAAAGUGAAGAACAGUCAUUGCAGCACCCUCACAGUUGGAUACUCUGGGUGCAGGAAGUGUUGGAUGUCGACAUAGGUGCCUGGAUUACGGGCUUGCAGUGUAUGGAGGAGGCGGACAACAGAGUCGUACGAGUCGAAAAACGAACCAAAUCUUUCCUCAAGAGCCCUCUGCUUAGCCCUCCAAGCCUUGCCAUAAGAAAUGUUGUACUUAAACCUUACCCUGACCUUAUGCAUGAUGGCCUUCACUUCCAUUGCUUUGCUCUCCACUAUCUCCGUGUAAAGCAACCGAGCAAGAAGCAUCGACGAGAGGUUACGAUGGUCUUGAGGGAUACUGGGAAUGACACAUGUGUGCAACACCAAGUCACUCACAACCCAAUCUGUGUCAUACUUAGGAACAUAGCCAUGCACCCUCCCGAGACAAUCUAUUUGUUCGCACUCCAUUGUCAAAUAUUUUUGUGAAGAGACUGUUGUUUUGAAAACUUUUUGCGUGGACAUUGCCCAAGCAAUUAUCGCAUCCUGCAGAUGUUUCUUGUCAGGAAAUCUGGCACCCUUCGCAAUGUUGUUCUGAUGAUAUUGCCAUGCAGAGUCGUGCCCAUCGUUCACGGUCAUAACUAAAGAGAAGUCCUGAUUCCAUGAUGCAGGAAUCGACACCUCCUCUUCGUCCGACUCAUGAGACUCAUCGUCAUAAGAACUACGACCAUCUGUAUCUUCAUCCUCCAUCUGGUUCUGCAAGUGACCAUUUUCGUCGUCCGCAUCUGCCUCGCCAGUGUACUCAUCCUCUCCUACUGUCCCGGAGCUCUGGCCUGAUUCAUAACCACCACCUCCAGCAUUCGACACAGAGUUUGCAUUGGACAAGUCAUAACUUGAUUCACCCUCGCCUUCAGCUGGAUUGGUCUCAUGAGCGACAACCUGGAUUAAGGCGACAGGUGUAGUUCCCCUUUUCUCGCAACUUUCUAACCAGCGCACCCACUUUGAUGUCCGGUCUAUCGGCCUCAAAACCCAGAAAAUAUUUGAACUUGACUUGGUCCACAAUGCUUGCACACGGACGGGAUAUGUUUCAGGAUUGAGCGCUAAACAUCCUACCAACCAUUCCUGCAACCGACUAAACAUCCAUGUUUGAGGGGCCGUUAGAUCCAACUCCACAUAUUUAAACUGACUCAGAUCAGCUCCGUGCUCGGUUGUUAAGACAGUACCGGAACCGUACUAAAAAACAAACUUCACUACACCGGAUAUCUCUGAUGCCUAAAGAAAUGUUUAGACGCGUCAAAUACUAAGCAGUACGGCAUAUAAAAAAUAUUAGGACGCGUCAAAUACUAAGCAGUACAUCAUAUUAAAAAUAUUAAUACGCGUCAAAUACUAAACGGUACGGCAUAUUAGCGUCAAAUACUAAACAGUACGGUAUAAAUAAAAUCUAGCCUAUCAAAACAUAUUACUACCGGCCAUACUAUUUAGACGUGUCAAAUACUAAGCAGUACGGCAGAUUUAAAAUAUUAAUACGUGUCGAAUACUAAACAGUACGGCAUCAAAAAAAAUCUAGUCUAUCAAAACAUAUUACUACCGGCCAUAAUAUUUAGACGCAUCAAAUACUAAGCAGUACGACAUUAACCGUUGUCCAAAAUAAUGAGCACUACCAAACGCUAAAACAUACUUCUAUAUAUACAUACACACGUAUCCUCAUAAACAUAUACAUUAUAGGAUAAAUACGUGAGAGAUUAGGAUUUACCCUUGAAGCGUGCGAACCCCAACCUCGAGCAGCCUCACAGUCACCGGAUGAGCACCACCACCACCUCCAAACUCCUCCAAACCACCACCAUUGCUCCAACUUUGCACCACAAAAUUAGCUCUACAUGGCCUAUGAAAACAGUAGAUCGAGGUGUCUUUGGGUGCCAACUAGGUAGGGGGUGCGAUUUUGUGGGUUAAAUGGGAUCAAAAUGCACUAAUUUAGGCUAGAAAAUUAGGGCAUUUGAGGAGAAAAGGAAGAACAGAAGAACGAGGAGAGGAGGAAGAAGCAGGGGGCACGGGCGCUCGUCUGGCUGGGCUCGGUUGGGCACGGGAGGGAUGGGAAGGAUGGAAGGGAAAGGGAAAAAGGAAAGAUUCCGGGCCCGCGACCCACCAGGCCCCUUUUGGCCACGGUUAGGCCGACUGGGCUUCAGUCGGUCUGGGCCAAGCCGACUGUCUCGUGGGGGCCCCAUGCGCUGAGCAGCCGGCCUGCAGUCGGCCUAGGCCAGGCCGACUGGAUCCAAUCUGCUUCGACCAGGCCGAUUGGGCCCAUUCGGGCUGGGAGAGGCCGAGGCCGUAUUAUUUUUGAAAUUUUUGAAAAACACUUAUUAUUUUUAAAAAUGAUUAAAAAAAUCGUAUUAUUUUAAAAAAAUUAGCGUGAGGCGCUGCCUUCACGUUUUUCCACUUGACGUUCCUCUGCUUCGUGGCUUCGUCUACAGAUUACAAUUCUGAACCUCCCGUGGGUCGGCGCUCAGAGAUGUUCCGGAAGAGGGGCAAUGCAGCUGGUGGCAUAGCACCAACCCCGGGACGGGGAGCCCAUCCUGCGUCCUCGUGUGCUAUUGACGCUGCCUGGGCGGACGCGCAGAAGGUGUUCGACGAAAUACCGCAGCGGGAGAGCAUGUUCUGGGCUUGAGCCUAACUUGAGUACAUGGCGCUGCCUCAGGCCUCAGCCGGCGUCAAGGAAGCAACAGGUAACGCUGGUACUUUUGCUUUAUUUUCGCAUUGAAAGCUUGAAACAUACGUAGUUCAUUUGAUUUUUUUUUUAGUUCUGCCGUUCUGGGCAUGGGAGAACAUUCAAAGUUUCAAUAAAAGUUGGGUAUAAAUUUUGUCUAAACAUGAAAUGAAAUAUAAGGACCAUUCCCCAAAACAGCAUCAGAUAUUUAACUGUACGCUGAUUGUGCUGGUAUAUAUCACACAAUAGUAAAUAUACAGCCACCAACUCCGCUUGCAAUUUUUUUGUUGGAAUAUGGACACAUCAAAAGUAUCGACCUGCUAUCCUUGUGGUUAAUUCUGGUUAUCUGGUACCAUGCUUAUGUUACAAGUAAGCAAAGCAACCUUGCGCUUUUUGCCUUAGUUGAAUGGGCAUGGCCCUCGAGAUAUAUGUUUUAGGCCAGUGUUGAACCUUAUGCACGGCCGGAGAGGAAUGGAGAUCAUACACAUUUUUGUAUUUGAAAUGGAAUGGAUGAUGAUUCAAGUGGGAACAAAUGGUCUCCUGGAUGGAACUGCCACGGCAUCCAUGAUAUUUAAAAAAAAAAGUAUUUUUGUUUCUCCAUCAAUCGUCCAAUCCUACCACCGGUCCCUAGUCCUGCUGACCCGUCAAGUGUGAGUAGGCCCAAUAGAGACAACUGAGAACUCUAGUUGGCAGAUAGCCAAAGAGUCCUAUCUAUUGUUGACUGUGAACCAUGUUUAUUUUUUAUUUUUAUUUUUUUACAGUCUCCUUCUAGUAUGUGAGAGUACUGAAUGUAGGGGCUCAAAAGUUUCCACAGUGAAUAGACCUGCCUAUUGUCUAUCCAACGCCAGAACACACCAUAUUUGACCUGGAAAAGUACUCUGACUUGCACUAGCACUAUUGACUUGCAAGCAAAGCUUUUCCUUGGUUCACAUAUAAGUUCGAUUAGGUUAUUACGGAAGGAGUACAUGCACAUCCAUUACUUCGCAACAAAUAUCUCAUCAAAUGGAGAGAGCAAGCAAGUGGAGGUCUUUGGUCCCGUCUUCUGUUGUUUUGGUACUCCCGUUCCUGAUCAGCCUUGUAUAUUCCAGCUGCACAGUUGCAUAUGCAAGAGACACUCCUUCCAGGACAAUCUCUAAAUGCUAGCCAGACCCUACUCUCAAAUAAUGCAGCCUUAAAAACAGACGCAAAGCUUAUACGUGAUAUUUAUCUACCUGUCGAAAUGACACGUAACAGAGGCUGAUCAAGCAUGGGGCAAGAAGUUUCCUGGUUCCCGGGACGAACCCGUCAGGAUGCAAAUACUUUCUGUGAUCCUCCAUGCCCACAAACCUCAGCAGUGACCCCGGAAUAGGAGGUACUUCGACAUCCAUGACACCCUCUAGCAUGCGAACAACUUGCCCCAUCAUUGGCCUGUGAUCCUCAGCAUCUUGAAUGCACCAGCAUGCAAUUCUGCAAGCUCUGCUCAGCUGCUCCACAUCUACAUCAUUCUCCAACCUACUGUCCAACAGACACAUAACAUCUUCUUCAUGCACCUUGACUGCAGCAAAGAUGGGAAAGUAAGUAAACUUCCCUUCCUUUAUUUUCUCCGCAUUCCUCCGCCCUGAUAUGAUUUCAAGAAGCGUCAUUCCAUAGCUGUAGACAUCAGCCUUAUGUGUGAUCGGCAUACCUGAGAUCCACUCUGGUGCAAGAUAUCCGAUGGUCCCUCACAUUGUUGUCGGAGCCCUGCUGAAAUCUCGAGCAAGAAGCUUUGCCAUACCGAAGUCUGCAAUCUUAGGACAGGAAUCUGCAUCAAGAAGUACAUUGUCCGGCUUCAUGUCGCAGUGUAUAAUGCAAUCCUUGCAUUGCUCAUGCAAAUAGGCCAAGCCUCUUGCCGUUCCAAGUGCUAUAUGGUACCGCAGUUCCCAGCUCUUGGUCGAGAUUUCAGCAGGGCUUACAAACCCGGAUGGAUGGAGUAUUUCUUACUAGCUGCUCCAGAUCGAUAUGGAGCAGAUACUCAAUUGGUUGCAAGAAAAAUCGACAUCCUCAGUGUGCCACUAAAAAACCUGUAGCGGGAGCUGCUUCAAUAUUUGAUUUCAGUUAUUAUCACUUUUUUUUUCCGGUUUUGAAAGUUGUAGGGCGAAAAAAGUAUGACUGUUUAGGGACGAAAAAUGAACUUCCCAACAAAAUAAGGGACUAAAAAUACUUUUCUCUUUUCCUUAAACAAUUUUAAAACUUUAUACAGACUCUUUUGGAAUUAUUUUGUACGUUAAUUUGUCUUGUUAAUAAUAUAUUUCUGAGCUGACGGAACAUUUGAGAACUGCAUAUACAAACCAACUGGAGGAAGAUAGUAGUACAUCAAACUGUUCACGAUUGAAAAGAAAAAAAACACAAAUAUAAAAUACAAGCACGCACAAUUAUACCAACAAGGUGUCGACGCAGAUCUAAACUCACAACCAAUGACAGACAAGGUUUCACUGUUGCACACACACACGCUCAGGCAUUCAUACAUACAUAUUCAUACGUGGUAUAUCCAGGCACAAAAAUAGAGAGAAUCACCCACGGCUCAGUUUGCUUCCAAUACUUGCUUCAAUGGAGCUUAAGUCGCUGAAGUGGCCAUUGAGCUCCACCUUUUCUAUCCUGUGAAGGCGGUCGAUUCCAGAGAGGCUGCCCUUCUUAGUCAUGUCCAUGGAGCUGUUCCGCCAAACGAUCCUCUCGAGCAUAGGGGCUGCGCCUUCUUCUUCAAAGUCAAUGUUGGUGACGUCUUCGCCCUCGACCAUGAGAAACCUGAGGACUCGGAACCCUUCCUUGGUGAAGACAAGCUUGCACUCCUUGUAUGAGUUGCGACGGAGCCGGAGGCAGCGCAGAUUAAGAAGCUUCUUGCCAAGGUUCUGCAGUGAUUGCGGUGACAACGAGGUGUCACACAGUGUAAUCUUGGAGAGAUGUUGGAGCUCCAAGAUCCAUUGAGGCAUCUCGGCGCACCCUAAGCCGCUGAUACUGAUGCUCUCAAGCAGUGUGGGUUUGUUGUAGUGGCCUUUAUUCAUCUCCAUGUCCACAGUGUCGGAAUCGUUGGGUGGAAUGAUCCAUACAGACAGAGAGCGUAGGCUGGGGCUCAGCUUGCUUAUUGCCAUUAGCAGAUGCCUGAUCAUGUUCUCUUGAGCUUCCUUGAUGGCAGUGGCAUUGAGAACCACGCCUAGCUUCCUAAGCUGCGGAAGGGCGCCAAUGUCUUCCAGCUCCUGCUGGGCGGCGGCAUCGAACCGGGACAGAAUUUCCACCUCUCUCAUCCUCCCUAUCUUGCAUGGCACGCAUGCGCCGGGUGGCUCCUUCUCCUCAGUCAUGGUCGGGCUGGCGAGCAGGUGCUUCAGCCUGGGGAGGAAGAUGUGCUUGGUGUCCUGCCGCACCAGGGUUCCCCGGAUGUCGAGCGUCUCCAGAAAUAUGAGCUUGCUGAUCUGCUUGGGCAGAUGGGGAACGCCUGUCUUCCGGAGGCUCAAGUACUUGAGCGUGAGCACGGUGCAGAUGCUCUUCAGGUGGCUCUUCCUUAGACCCCUGCAACCUCCAAGGUCCAGCACGUUCAGACGGUAGUUCUGGGGCAGGCAUUUGAGAAAGCGUACCAGCUUAUCCAUGGGCCUGGUGCCAUCCCGCCGCCUUGAGAACCCACAGAUGGUCCGCUGGCCGUCCUCCUCCGGUUGCUGCUGUUGUUCUUGUGCAAAGCGUCGGAUGCAAAGCUGGUUCUCAAGGUGAGCCGGCAGGGUGCUCACGAAGUUCUCAUUUUUGGACAUAAGGUCGACGAAGCCCCAGACUGUGUCGUCAACUUUGCAGCUCUUCACCUUGCUGCCGGCAAUGCCUCGGUCGACAACAACAAGGAAGCCUCGGAAGAGGAGCUCUCUGAAGCAGUGCUCCGCUGCUUCGUCGAUGGAGCCUUCACCUUGCUUCUCAACUAUGCCCUCCGCGACCCAUCGCCGGACCAAGCUGGUCCUGCUGAUGACGGCCUCGUCGCGGAAAGUGGAAAGAUACUGCAAGCAGCUCUUGUAGCUCCUGGACAACUUGCUGUAGCAGAAGACCAUCACUUCACCGGGCAGAUCUGCGUUCUCUUCCUCCUCCUCCUUGACUAAUUCUUUCACCUCUUUCAUGGUCCGGGCCGUCCGGCCGCCCAGACUAUUAUGUGACCGAAGGGCACGGAGGAGCAUCUCCAUGCACAUGGCGCGAUGGUCCAUCCGCGAGCAGUACUUUUGGAGUCCAUCACGCACUGUCCUCGCCGCCGAUCGAAGAUCCUCAUUAGGAAGGAGACCGAUGGCCUUGUCAAAAGACGGAGCUUCCUGCUGCCUGUCAUGCGCCAACGCACGCAGAAAGUAUUCUCUGUUGUCGACGUCGUCCUGUUUAGCUUGUCCCUCUCCCGGCCGCUGCUGAGCCUUCUUCGCGUCAGGGACCUUGACAUCGUAGCGCUGCCGCCUCUCCCCGACGUCAUGGACGCGGACCUUGAGCUCGCGGAUCCUGUUGGCGAGGCGGUGGCGUGCAGGGACGCUCCUGAGGAGCGUCGGGAGGUAGAGGAGGAAGGCCAGGAGACCCUUGCCCGGAGGGCCGGGGCAGUCGAGCUUGUAGCGCUCGAUGCAGUCGUGGGCGAUGUAGGCGAUGUCGCGGACCUGCUUCAUCCAGGCGCGGAGCUGGUCGUCGUGGUCGCCGUCGGUCUUGGUCAGGUGGAGGAGGAAACCGUUCAUGCUCUCCAUCUCGUCCUUGAUGAACUGCAUGUCGCCCUGCACGCCGCCCAGCAGCCGAGCCUCGUCCUUGAUCGCCGUCGACAGGAGGCCCACCAGCGAGUCCACCGCGCCUUGGGUCUGGUCAGCCAUCUCUAGCUCACUCUUGAUCUCUCUUCCCGAAUGCUGUGGAAUGGGUUUGGAUCUGAACCUAUCUACACGGAAAUAGCUUUUGAAAAACUCAAAUGGAACUUCGAGGGCGAAUAGAUGGUAAUGCAAGUUUGUGCACAACAAAGGCCGGCCGGUGCAUGGAUGUAAUGUAAAGAAGAGCACCUAGUUCUAUCUAUAAGGCAGGAGAUGAGGU